CCCGAGAAGGUCCGUUCCCUUGCGGGCAAAUAGCCAUUUCGUCGGGCUAUAUUUUUUUAAUAGGUUCGAUCGACCCUGCGGGCACGACUUAGUCCUAUGUUAGGAGAGGCUUCGAGGGGGUCGUUAGCCAAGUGCUUGGUCCGAGCUCGUCUUCCCAAGUCACUUAUAGCGAGAGCACUUUUGGAGCCGCCUCGGACUUGGGCCGAACUCGUCUUCCCGAGUAGCGAGGUUAGGAUACCGUCAAGACUCUAACCCUACCCCUUCUCCUUCGAUCCCGUGCCAACCAAGGUUAGUUCGGAGCCUCGAAACUAGAGUCUCGUAAAAGGCUUCUCGAGGCCGAUCGACUUUCAGUCGAGAGCGGCGCGCGAGAGCGAACCUUACAGAGAGCACUCUAACCCUCUCCCCUUGAGUUUAUUCAAGUGAGAGUGAAUGAUACAUGCCCCAUGGGGGUAUUUAUAGCCUAGGGAUCCAUGGCAAAAGACCAUGGCUACCCGUGAGGGAGAGAGAAAAGUGGGGGCAAAGUGGUAAAAGUAGCUCCUUGGUCCAUAACUUUUGUGUGCACCAUGUGGGGGAAAGUGAGGGUUGGUCCAUGGUCCACCAUGGACCAAAAGCCUCAUUUUCCACACCUUUCUUGCCCCUUACUCUAACUCAUUUUAUCCUUUGACUAUUGCAUGAGAGGCUUGACUUGUUAACUUGUCUUCCUUUUGCCAUGUAGGAUUGACUACGUCAUGUUGGCAUCUUGACUCACGCUGAGAAAUGUUUACCUAGUCGCCGCAACGUAGGAUUUACGGUCCGGCCCAUAUAAGGAUUUUAUUUUACUACAACAAAACACAACUAGGAUCUAUAGUGAACAACUUAACAAACAUUUAGGACUCAAACAUGCAUUUUUAAACAUUUAGGACUAACUUGACACUUUUGCGAAAGCUGCAUUUUACUCUUUCUAUUUUAUUUAUUUAUACACUGAAGUACUAUUUUCUCUGGUUCACUUUCUAGCAAAAAAAUCUUCCAGGUUGUACGUACUUCUUUCGUUGAAUUUUCGUACUCUAAUUAUUUCUGUACGGGUCAGUUUUUGCUUAUUACACUGUUGAUAUCAUUUUGACAUUUUGUUUUCUUUCUGUCCCAAGCCUGACUCAUGGGUAAAUUUCUUGUUAGCAACGAGACCGAACUACGGAAAUUAUUAACGGUUUUGCUAUAUCAAGGUUGUACCAUAUCCAUCACGUGUGAUCUGCUGCUGGCCAUAAUACCACUAAUGCUCAGUCCGGAAAUGAGGAUAUCCAGCACGAGCUUUUCCGUAGGGAGGACACCAAUGCCCAGCUCAUCCUCUGUAGCCUGGAGCAUUGCUCACGGCGCCCUGAAUUGAGGCAUUUCCUCAAACACGUUGUGGCCUUAUGGGCAUUUACUUGCCACUACUCUUGCGCGGCAAAUAAGCUGUUGAGAUGCGUGCUGCCAUGGCACGUAGGUAGCAGAAGGCAUUUCAACAAACACCUGAUGAGCGCAACUACGAUGCUACAUAAAUUCGGUGCCGGUCUUCCGCCGCCAGGCACCAGUGAAGACAUCCACGGAAGGCCGACAUGUUUGAAUCUGUAUGAAACGAAGGUAAAAUCAAGAGACGACUCAGCGUUAACAUCUUUUGCGUCUCUCCUAAAUAAAGUACUUCUAUGCUUGUUUGCCUGUACAGUUCUUGAGUUUUAUUUAUAAUAAUUUGCAGUAGGCUUCUGGUCUCUGUUUCUCUUCGAAAAGUAUGCUUGUUUUCCUACCAGACACGAACAAGCAGCCAGACAAAGGUGUCUUGUUCAAGUUUCAUUCCGUUGUCGAUGCCUACGUAUCAAACGAAGGUAAAAUCAAGGGGACGACAUCCAUUAUUGAUAAAAUAAAUAAAACUCUGAUCUGUCUCUUUUUCGCAUUGGUCAUCAAGAAUGUGACAAGUAAUUUGCUGAAAGCUUUCGGAUUCUUCUUUGUCGUGGGUAAUGUCUCUGGUCCCAAGUCCCCAACUACCGUGACAGAUUAAACCCUACACUAAUUGUCAGCUAUCAAAUCUAUCAAUCAAUAAAUGGAUUAAGCUAAACUCCUUGAACAGCACCUGACCUGUUCGAGAAAUCGCCGCAAUGGAAGAAGGGGAUCAGCUGAUGAGCAAAACGAGCGAUGAACACCACCACCUCAUCGACAUCGCGGCGGAGACCAAUUCGGAUGCCGUCGACAACAACUGCGACGAAGCCGAAGCCGGGCGGAAGUGGCUGCGGAAGCUGACGUCGGCGACGGUGAACAAGGCGGUGAUGCGGGACCUGAUCGCGCGGACGCCCAUGCUGUGGUACCUCGGCGAGCGGUCAGGCACCAUCCUCCGCCCGUGCACCCGGCGCGGGCGCGCGCGCGGCGGCGCCGUCGAGGCGGCGCUCCACGCCGUGCGCGCCGUGGCCAUCGGCCCCUUCCACCGCGCCGACCGCGGCCUCGCCUUCCCCGACGACGCCAAGCUCCCCUUCAUGCGCUACCUCCAGGACCAGUGCGGCCUCUCCGCCGACCGCUUCGUCGCCGCGCUCUCCGCCGACCGCUUCCGCCUCCGCGACGAGUUCGCCGAUGACGACGACGAAGACGACGAUGGCGGGUUGUUGUUGGACGACGAGGAGAAGUUCCUGCAGAUGCUGCUUCUGGACAGCUGCUUCCUGCUGGUGGUGGCCAUGAUGCUGAGCAAGACGGGGGCCGGGGACGACGCCGACAGCACGGCCCGUGCGGCGUCCAUCAACAGGGAGUACUUCAUCCUGCACAUGGCCGUGGCGCAGCACGCGGAGGCCAUCAAGCUCGACAUGCUCGUCCUCGAGAACCAGAUCCCCUUCGCGGCGCUCAAGCUGCUCGUCGCCUCCUGCGACAGGCUCUCCUUCAAGCUCCGCCACUGCGUCGAGGAGCUCGUCAUCGGCUGCUUCGACGACUUCUGCCCCAAGCCGCGCCACCGCGCCUGCCACAAGGGCGACGCCGGCGCCGCGGAGUUCCACCACGUCCUUCACCUCUUCCACUGGUCCCGCGUGCCCACGAGCAAAUACAGCAUCCUCUCCACCCCGCUGAAGCUGCUCAAGAUCAAGAAGGAGUCGGAGCGGCUCUUCCCCUGCUCCAUGGAGCUGCGCCACUCGGCCGUCUGGUUCCAGAACAGGAACGCGGCGGAGACGGAGGAGGACCUCGGGGACAUGGACAUGUCCUUCUGGAGCCGGCGGGCGAGCCCCGUGGCGGUGAUGAGCAUCCCGUGCUUCCACGUCCACGAGUACACGGCCGCCGUGCUCCACAACCUGCUGGCCUUCGAGAUGCGCUUCCACUGGGCGCACGGCGCCUGCGUCACCACGCACGUGGCCAGGAUGGAAGGGCUCGUGCGCUGCGCCACCGACGCCGCCUUCCUCCGCCGGCGAGGGGUCAUCUCGGCUCCCCGGAUGACGGACGCCGAGCUCGUCUGCUUCUUCAGGGAGCUCGGGGAGCAGACAGUCGGCACCAGGCUCCCCGACGAGUACGGGGAGAUGCUCGACGCCGUGGCGUGCCACCGGAGGCGGAAGGUCAGCUGGUGGUGCGGGGGAUUCGUGCUCCACUUCUUCCCUUCGCCGUGGGUCGCCGUCUCGCUCCUCGCCGCGGUGGCGCUCAUCUUCGUGCCUUCCAUGUUGCAGACGGUUUAUACCAUGCUCGGCACUAUCAGAAGCACUAGUUAGCAGUUACUGAUGGUCUUUUUUGAUCGGUUUUGUAAUUUCCGUAGUUCGGUCUCGUUAGUCGUUACCCACUACGAUAAAUUUACCCAUGAGUCUUUUCUUUUACAGGACUUACCCAUGAGUCAGGCAUGGGACAGAAAGAAAAUAAAAUGUCAAAAUGAUACAGCAUAUAUCAACAGUGUAAUAAGCUUCCCUCAAAAAGAAAAAAACGGUGUAAUAAGCAAAAACUGACCCGGACAGAAAUAAUCCAAGCUGGCCCUUUCAUCUGGCGCUACUCAGCCCAAGCCUGUCCUACAAUAUUCAGCCCAACACUAGGCCCUUUCCUGCUGCCAACCGCCAACACCUCUUGUGGGCCUGUCUCAAAAUAAAACACCUCUCGUGGGCCUGCUUAAUUCGCUUACUGCGAGAUGAUUGGCCACCUGCAUAUCGCCGUUGUGGACUUGUGAACAGAAUUUUUCUUCCUCCUCGCGGCCUUCUUAAAGCCUGCGCGUAGUACUCACUUGUCCCAUAAUAUGAGGCACGCACGUAUCAUUAGAUUUUUAAUUUAGCUAAUUAAAUAUAAAUUAAUUAAUAAAAAAAUUUAUAUCAUUAGAAAGUUUUUUGAUAACGAUUCUAAUGAUGUAUUUUUUUAAAAAAUAUACAUAUUUAAUUAAUUAAAUUGAAAAUGUAGCGCCGGGAACGAAGCAAGUACCUUUUUUCCAUCGCUUGUCACUGCUUUAUGAUGGAAGGAUUUUCUUACUCGACAGUCAGACACUUGAGAGGACUCGUAGCUUUCGGUGGACUCUCCGAGGCGAGAAAAGAGGUCCUGCACGGCUGCACCGUGCCGCCCAUGCAUGCAUAUCCAGCCGGACAGCCUCAGUCUUCACCCCGUUCCCGUUCAACGUGGGCAUCAUUUCCGUCCCAGUUUCACGGACAAACAACCUAGUGACAGCGAAUUUUAACCCCUCUGUGUUACACUCAGCAAGUCCAAUCCGGGGCCCGUCCAAACAGUGCACGCCAUUCUCAGAGGAACAUCUCGGCCUUGGAACAGGGACUCGUUGGAUCCAUUCAGGACUCGGGCACCAGAUGCACCACAAUUUUUCGCAGAUCAUAUCAUCCAUCCACCCAAACAUGUGCUAGUCAGCCAGCAGCGGUAGAAAUGAAGGACAGGGGAGGAGAGAGUCUAGUGCCUCUUGUCACCUGGCAGCGUGCCGCUGUGGCUGCAGAGCGCGACACCCUUUUGCCCGUGAGCUUUAUCCGCCACCUCACCACACGUACGCUCCUCCACCCAAGCUCGCCACGUCGUUCAUCUGAUUGCGGCGCUAAUCGCCCGAGAAUCCGAUGCCUCGCACGAGAACGUACCAUAACGGCCUACCACGUUGCGGGCUGUGCGUACGGAGAUCGUUGCUGCCUAAUCCGAGACAUGUAAAGCCCUUCGACAGGAUGCGUUAAGUUUUCUCGUCUUUCUUUACAAAAAAAGUUAGAUCAGCAAAGAUAUGUAGAGAAAUCUGAUAAACGCGUACUAGUACAUAUCGGCGCAUGACUAGAUGGAUUCCUUCUUCUCCCGGUUGAUCUGUUCAUAUUCUCGGUCGAUAUUUUUGCUUUUGCCCGUUCGCUAGGAGAUCAGCUAGAUCGAGUCGAAUCUAGCUAGCUGACCGAUAACCAGCUAGGGACAGAAGAAUCUUGCAAGUAUAAUAGGUCUGGAUAACUGGAUAGCCCUAAUGUGUAGGUGCACGCGCUCGUUGGAACACGUGCGUGCGUGGAGUCGAUAGUGGAUUAAGAUCAGGCCUGGGAUUCUUCGGCGGGAAGACGUGAUCUACGAUCAUAUCUCAUAUGAGUAAAUUGCACGCAACUACCGCAUUCUGUGACUUAUUACGAAAACCACCGGUUUUGUUAAUUUUCACACAGAACAACCGCAAUUCAGUAAAGUUGUUGCACAUAGUACUGAUUCAGACGAUUGCGGCGUAUAAGCGCGUUUCUGAACGACCGGCCCCACAUAUCAGGUUGACCGGGCCGAGCCGGCGUUACACGGUCCGUUAGCCAGGUCUGUCCAAGCCUUUCUCCUCUCCCAUUGCAUUGCCUGGCUCCGCGCUGCCGCCGUCGCUGUUCCGCCGACGCGUGCCUUCACUGCAUCCCCCCCUCCGUGCGUCGCUGCUUGCGUGCCUGGCUCCGCGCUGCCGCCGCAGCUGCCCGCGGCCGCACGCGCCACCUUUGCUCCGUCGUCGGGAGCGCCUGGCUCAGCGUGCCGCCGUGCCGCUCCGUGCCGCCGCCGCCGCCUGCAGCCGCUCGCGCCGCCCCUGUCUGUCGCCGCUCCUGCCUGCAGCUGCGCGCACCGCCCCGCUCCGCCAACGCUUGCCAACCUCGCCGUCGGGCUUCCUCUGCGCUUGGCACGGUCAUGCUCGAGACUGGAUAAUUCCUAUAUGCAUACAUACCUCGCGAUCCCCUCCCUCUCUCCGCCAACGCUUCAUAGCACGCCAAGUUAGUUUCCCUCCGCCGAGACGGGAGAAGGGAAUCAUCGAUUUGAUUUAAUUCGGCCAUGGGGAACGCGUCGUCGCUGCUGACGCAGUACGCAUCGAGGAGCCGAGGAGGUGCAGGAGCACUGCAGCUACCUAUGUAUGUGAGGAGACAAUACAAUCUCGAAUUCCUUCUUUCGGUGUUCUCAUUCUCACGGUUCAAUUUGUAUGGCUGCUCUAAUUCGUGAUUGAUCGGAGUUCUAAUCAAUCAAUCGACAAUUUUGAUGUUUGCUCCUUUUGUUCUAGUCUCGCAGCAGUUGAUCGUGGCACUGUAUGAGCGCUUCUGCCAUCUUGACCGCCGCGCCAAGGUCUUCGUCUCCGAGGAUGAGUUCCUCUCCGUCCCGGAGUUCUUCACCAACCCACUCUGCGGCUACCAGCACAUCGCCUUGGAACGGAGCCGCCCCUGCUUCCCGACUUGCGCGUGCGCGCUGACACGUAGAAGCGGAAGGAGGGAGCAACCAGUCGGAUCCGUUGCCGAAGGCGUCCAGCGACGACGACGUGCGGCGGCCGGAGAAGAAAUCUGGUGCGGGUGAGAAUCGAAACGGGGAAGCUCCAGCGAGAUAUUGAUGCGGGCUUGCGGCAACGCGGAGCUAGGCAACGAAGUGGGAGAGGAGAAAGGCUUGGACAGACCUGGCUAACAGACCGCGUAACGCCGGCUCGGACCGGUCAAACUGAUAUGUGGGCCUGGUCGGUCAGAAGCACGCUUAUACGCCGCAAUCGUCUGAAUCAGUGCAAUGUGCAACAACUUCACUGAAUUGCGGUGGUUCUGCACGAAAAUUAGCAAAACCGGUGGUUUUCGUAAUAAGUCACUGAAAUGUGGUGGUUCUGUCCAAUUUAUCAAUCGAAAAGUCACUGAAAUGUGGUAGUUCAUAUCUAUCAAUCGAAAAGAGGAGAGAAUAUAUGCAGAUUACAAAAGGCCGAAAGGGGUACGUAAUAUUGAAAAGAACUGAUCGGUGAGAUCGCCCUCCUGAUCGACUCGUGAUAUGCUAGCAUAUACAAUCGCUCAAAAAUAAAAAUGCUAGCAUAUACUCGUACAACAAUAUACGAAUCCAUUAUUGGUAAAUAAACAUACAGGGGGCGCCGGCGAUCGACACGAGCGUGAGGGUACACUGGCCGUGAUGUGAAGCUAGACGCAGGGGAAUCUUUCUGUCGAGGUCGGCAGGAGCAGAAUAGUGCAAGUGCUGCCGCCUCGCCGCCCAUAGACAGUGCCACGUCAAUAUGCACUCAAUGCCCCAGAAUGGGAUCGGUUCGCGUAAUACUUAUCAGAGAAAAGUAUUUUUUGGUCCUCUACUCGUUGGAAAGUUUGCUUUUUGUCUAAAAAAACAUUUCGUACUUAUUUCGUGUUUUCAUUUUCAAAACCGGACACUUUUAGUCACUCAGUCUAUCAAAAGUGGUUUUUCUAACCACGUGUCUGGUUUUCGUAUAGUUUUUCAUUUAUUUUUUAUUUCAAUGAAGAUAUGGACGAUGCAGAUGGAGGAGAAGUACAACCAGUGCCUGUACGAGAUCCAGAGCAUGACGACAGCUAAUUUCAACAGCCUCGGCGGUAUCGGGUAUAUGAAAGUUGAGCACUCGAAGGGUCGUUCCCUCGUCAGUUAGCCCCCGAGUUCCUGUUCGAGGCGUAGGCUCGGGUAGGGACUAAAGAGUUUUUAUAUAUCAAGCUGAUUGACUCGAAUGUUCGUCAAGCCCGAACUUCGAGAAUUCUUAGCCUAUGACUCGGUAACCACAUGAUACUUCUGCGAAUUGUACUGAUGUUGUGUGAGAUGGUUGCAUAACACGCUUGGAAUACUUGAUCGGUCGAGUCCAGUUAAUUGCACCGAGGCAAAAACUUUGUUCGCAUACAUCAACACUCGAGUCCCCAAGCUCGAGCCUGGAUAACUGGCGGUGUUCAAGUCAAACCUGCCGAGGGCUUUACAGACUCGAAAUCCUGGACUGUGGGGCGAUCAACCAACGCGUCCGUUGGGAUCUUUUCUUCAUGCAAGCGCAUGGAUGAUCUGGAAUUGCCGGAAGGUGCUGAUUUCCAGGCCCGACGAAAAACUAUCGGGUCUUACCUUCACGCCAUGGACUUGGCUUCGGGUGUGUUUCGUAGUCUGUGCGACCCGGAUAGUACUGUCGAGUGCCCGUAUGUCGGGUACACUUCGAGUUCCUGUGUCGUCGGGUGGCAAACCCGAGCUUUCCAGAGUUUGAUAUGACGUCUUUGCUGCCGCUCUGAUUAAAGAAAUGGUCUGAGCAGUCAAUGGGACGUACCUUAUGCUUUAUGAACGGACUGAAUUGAGUACUGUUGAGACGGUCAGUUUGAUUUGGCCAUACGACGUGCGCGAGAAUUUAGGCGCAAUGAUAGCUGUCAUGGGUUCCUGAACCGGUCGAAGGGGAAACGGAUCAUUAAUGCUGGGACCACGCAUUAUACAUGGAUGCGAAACGCGUGCCAUCAUUCUGAAUCGUGCGGCGGUGAUUCCGCCCUUUCUUGCACUAUCAAUCUUCUUCUUCCUGCCUCAUUUCACCCCCUUGUCUUCUGCAUUCAAUCCCGGCUUCCUUCUGCGCUCAGCUCCUUUGCUCCAGCCCAACUUCCCCUCCGUCAUUCUCGCUCCACCCCUCGUUCCUUACUGCCAUUGCGCGUUUGCUGCCAUGGGCAGGAAGAAAAACUCCGCUGCCGUCGGUGCCAGGCUGCUGCCGACAGUAGGAAGACAUCUCGCGAUGCCCCCCCCCCUGCCAUGGACAAGAAAUCCAAGAAAACUGCUGACGCCGCGCUUGGCGGUGACAAGAGGAUUGGGGAAUGGAAGCGCUCCGGGAUCUUGGCGCGCCACUUCUCAGUGAUGCGGAAGCAUGGGCUGAUUCCAGGAGAGGAUUCCGGCAAAGUUUGCGUCCUAGGCAAUGAGGUAACUCCCCGUCCCAGGCCUGGGGAGCGAGUUAUGUUCUAUGAUUUUGUUAUCCGUGGCCUCUCUCUCCCAGUCCACUUCUUCUUCCAAGCGCUGCUGCUGGCGUACGGGCUUCAGAUGCAUGAUCUGACUCCUAAUAGCUAUCUGCACAUUGCGUGUUUCAUCACGCUCUGUGAGUGCUAUUUGGGCGUGAAACCCCACUGGGGUCUGUGGAAGAAGCUGUUCAUCAUUAAGCGGCAGGGUAAAGGCGACUAGAUCUAUCAGACCGGCGGCACCAACAUCCAGGUUCGUGGAGAUGUUUAGUAUUUCUCCCUUCAUCAGAUCGAGUCGGUACAGCAGUGGAGGAGUCGGUGAUUUUACCUCCAGGAUGAACCAGUCGACGGCAAGGAUUUCAACCUGGCCGAGUUCUCCCCUACUGCUCAGGUGAGGAAACUGAAGUCUUGGAAUCAUGAGUUGAUAGCCGAAGAAGAUGCAGAGGCUAUUGUUCUAUUAAAACAGGUAGCCGAGCUUCAGCAGACUCCCGAGAAAGAAGUGAGUAGUCUGCAGCUUAUUGCUCUAUUUAUGAAGAGGCGGAUUCAGCCGAUCCAAGCUCGAGUUCACUCUGUGUGGGAGUACUCGGGGCCGACAGAUUCCACUCGAGUUUGUGCACAAGAGCUGUCGGACGAGGAUCUUCUAACCCGAGUUAGGGUGGUUACUCGAAAGGAGAUCACCUUGGAAGAUUUGGAGUCGCCUCUUCCCCCCUACGGACCCGAUCAAUCGCGCGAAGAGGUGAUUUUUAAUUGCUCACUCGCCACUUAUUACUCUGCAAUUUCCAUGUUAGUCUUCAUCGAAAGGUGUUGCUCCAGGGCCAUCAAGAGCUUAUGAGCCAGCCUUCACUGGACGAAGAAGUGCCAGUCGGCGACGACGAACUGGUUGACUGUUCUAACUCCGACGCCCUUUACGAAGAUGACGUGGAUGAGGACGAAGACGACCAUCAAUCCCGAAAGCGUGGUCGGUCGAGUGAAGCGGAGCAGUCGACUGAAGAUUCUUAUCAGCACGAGGUGCACGAAGAGUUGAUUACUUCGAGUGCCACGGCCGCUUCCGACGAGCCGAAGCUCCAGUCGCCAUCUCCGUCGGCUCCCCUAACCAAGAAAGCCAAAGUCGCUGCCAAGCCGAAAGGAUGUCUUCGCAUCUUUGACGUUUCGUCGAGUAGCUCCUCCAGGUACGCUUUGUUGAAAAACCCAUCUCUUUUGUUUUGUUGCUGACUUUUGUCUUCUGGGCUGACGUGUACCACGGCCAAGAACUCUCGUGCCGUUUCUCCAGCUCGGAGUUCUACAAAGCCAAUUGCGUCUCUGGCUCGGUGCGAGGUGCAGGAUUCUCCACUAGCGAGGAACUCGCCAACAGGGCUUCCUGAGACUCCGCUAGCUUGAACGAUCAUGCAGCCGUCGACUUCUGUGUCUCAGUUGCGCAUUGGGUCGCUGGCGCUUGAAAACCAUGUAAGUGUUCUCUCGAUGGGAGUGUUGAGUGAAAAUUUUCUGCUAAGUGUUUUUCACUCGGGCUUCUGUCUAUUGCAGCCUUUUGUCGAAAAGCUGGUGGAUCUUGGCGACCGCUAUCUGAUUUUAGAAGAGGAGAACUGGCAACUACGCCAGGAGCUGGACCAGGCGAAAGAAGCCGCUGUGCACGCCAAUGGUAUCGAUCUGUGUUCCUUAGCCGGAUUUAACCUUCUCCAUACUGUUGCAUGGACUAUUGCCUGUUAACUAUUUCUGCACUUGUAGGUUUGACCGAACAAGCCAACCGACUACGCAAGUUGGUGGUUGGCAAUAGUCAGGAGUGGCGGUCGAAGGAUGAGCAACUAGUCGCCGAUUCUGCCAAGGAGUUGGCGGCUACUCGUGCCGAGGUGGACGCAGCUGUCAAGCUGUCCAAAUUGGAGGCACAGGACAGUCUUGCACUCGAGAGGAAAGAAAUUGCCUCUCGAGAUGACAAAUUGCCGGACACGGAGUCGCAACAGCCGUAGAGGUGGUUGCAUGUGCCGAUCACCUUCUGCGCUGACGAUCACCCAGCGUGACAGCUAGGUUCAGGGGUAAUACCCUUCGUCGUCUCACUAAUCAUCGGCAAUAUGACGAUGACCAAGGUACUGGUGGACAACGGAGCGGGGCUUAACCUCCUGUCCGCCAGGCUAGUGGAGAAACUCCAGUUCCGGUGGAGCAGCUGAAGCCCACCGACCCGUUCCGGGGGGUGAAUCCCGGGAUCGUGCGCCCUCUGAGGCGCAUCACGCUGCCGGUAACCUUCGGGUCCCGGAAAGCGUUCAGGACCGAGCACAUAGUGUUCGACGUGGCACACACCCCGUUGCGCUACAACGGGAUCCUUGGUCGGCCAGCGCUGAUCAAGUUCACGGCGGCUACGCAUUGCGCCUAUGACAUGAUGAAGAUGCCGUCCGUAUAUGGAGUUCUCUCCAUCAGGUGCGACCUCAAGGACGCGGCCUGGUGCGUCGGUGAGGUCGUCAGGGCCGCCGCCGCAGCCGACGCCAGCGGCGAAGAUGUUGCCGAAGACGACAGCUCGCCGGGCGAUGCCCCGGCAACUAAGAAGGCCCGCGCUACCCCACAAGAGCUUGCCGGGGGAAGUGCAGGCUCGAGCUCGUGCCCCGGAAGGGCCAGAAGCUCCGGGAGGAGGCCGCCAAGGUGAAGAAGCUGCCCCUCCAAGCCGGCAACAAGGAACGCACCGUUACCGUCGGUGCGAGUCUUACUGCCGAAUAGGAAAGCGCCCUCAUCACUUUCCUCCGAGAGAACGCCGACGUGUUCGCUUGGGAGCCGUCGGAUCUUCCUGGAGUCCCUAGGGAGGUGAUUCAGCAUCAGCUUGCGGUGCGCCCGGACGCCCGCCCCGUCAAGCAGAAGAUUCGUCGGCAAGCGCAAGAGUGUAAAGAUUUCAUCAAGCGGGAGGUGGACAAGCUCAAGGCUGCCGGGGCUAUCAGGGAAGUUCUGUACCCCACUUGUUUAGCUAACCCUCUAGUAGUACUUAAAGCAGGAACAAGCUUCGCAUGUGCGUAGAUUUUACUGAUCUUAAACGUGCAUGUCCCAAGGAUCCCUUCCCUGUACCCCGCAUCGAUCAAAUAGUUGAUUCUACCGCUGGGUGUGACUUGCUGAGUUUUCUAGAUGCUUUUUCCGGCUACCAUCAAAUUAAGAUGGCAGUCGAAGACGAGGAAAAAAUAGCGUUCAUCACCCCGGUUGGCUGCUAUUGUUAUACAUGCAUGCCUUUCGGGUUGAAGAACGCGGGCUCAACAUUUUAGCGCGCGCUGCGUGAAUGUUUGGGACCCCAGCUAGGCUGCAACGCGGAGGCCUACAUGGACGACAUCGUCAUCAAAUUGAAGCGCAGGGACUCCAUGAUUGAUGACCUGCGGGAAACGUUUGAUAACCUCCGCAGGAUCAAGCUCAAGCUGAACCCUGACAAGUGCACCUUCGGUGUGGACUUGGGUCAACUUCUGGGUUUCUUGGUUUCACAGAGGGGGAUACAAGCUAACCCAAGCAAGAUAGAAGCCAUCGAGAAGAUGGAGGCUCCCCGCAAGGUGAAGGAUGUCCAACGCCUCAACGGCUGCGUUGCCGCGUUGGGCCGCUUCAUCUCAAGGCUGGGCGAACGCGCCCUGCCUUUCUUCAAGGUGAUGAAGAAGAAGGGUCCGGUUGACUGCACUCCCGAGGCCGAAGCGGCGUUCCGGGAACUCAAACAGUACCUGAGGUCGCCGCCCAUCCUCGUCACCCCCAGGCCGGGCGAACCGCUGCUUCUCUACCUAGCGGCGAUUGACCAGGUGGUCAGCUCGGUGCUGGUUGCCGAGAGGGCGGAAGAUGUUCCAGGGACUGAGGCUGCGGGGCAGGGGGCUGAGCGGCCCCCAGCAACCGCCUCGGACCCAGGGACAACCCCCGAGCCGGCAGCUCCUGCACCGCGUAAGCGAUUAGUGCAGCACCCGGUGUACUUCGUCAGCACGGUGCUGCGCGACGCACGAACGAGGUACCCGCAAGUGCAGAAGCUCCUCUUGGGGAUUCUCCUUGCGUCCGCAAGCUGCGCCAUUACUUCCAGGCGCACCGCGUCACGGUGGUGUCGGGGUUUUGCCUUGAGCGAGCCCUCACCAACCGUGAAGCCACCGGGAGGGUGGCCGAAUGGAGGAUGGAGCUAUCAGAGUUUGACCUCCACUUCACCAACUCCAAGAGCGUCAAGAGUGCGGCUCUGGUGGACUUCGUCGCCGAGUGGACGUCGACGAACGCCGAAGAGGAGGAGCUGGAGACCAGCCUACCUGGUAAGCUGGACGAAGGCCACUGGGUCCUCUACUUCGACGGUGCGUUCAGUCUCCAAGGAGCUGGCGCCGGGGUCGUCAUCGAGUCACCGACAGGGGACCAGUUGAGGUUCGCUGUUCAACUCGAUUUCCCGAACUCCACCAACAACACGGCGGAGUACGAGGGCUUGCUCGCUGGGUUACGGGCAGCAAUCGCCCUCGACAUCAAGCGCCUGAUUGUUCGCGGGGACUCCCAGCUCGUGAUCAACCAGGUGAACAAGGACUACGACUGCCCGCAGAUGGCGCCGUACGUGGAGGAAGCCUGCAAGCUAGAACGCAAGUUCAAGGGUUUGCGGUUCUAGCACGUCAAGCGGAAGGAUAACUUCGCUGUUGACGAGCUGGCCAAGAUGGGAGCAGAGUGCCGGAAGCCCCCGGCGGGGGUGUUCUGCUAGAAGCAAGCGGCUCCUUCAGUUGACCCCGAGCCGGUCGUCGGGGACACCCCUCCGGCGACCGAAGGAACCCCCGCAACAGCAGGGGUCCAUGCCGCUGAUGUAGCGGCAUGCGUAGGCAGGGAGACCCCUCCCUGGGCGAUGGAAAUCGCCCGCUACCUGAAGGAGGGGGCCCUUCCGGAGGAUGAUGUCGCCGCAGAACGAGUGGCCCGGCUAGCCAAGAUGUACGCCGUGGUGGACGGGAACCUCUACCGCGGGCGUGCAAAUGGAGUCAAGCUCAUCUGCAUGCCGCAAGACGAAGGGCGCGCACUGCUGGAUGAGAUACACCGAGGGACAUGCUCCCACCAUGUGGCCUCCCGGACGCUGGCUGGCAAGGCGUUUCGGCACGGUUUCCACUGGCCCUUGACCCUGGCCGACACGGAGCAGUUGGUGAAGACGUGCGAAGUAUGCCAGUUCCACUCGAAGAAGAGCAACCAGCCGGCACAGGCCCUACACGUCAUCCCCUCCUCGUGGCCGUUCGCGGUCUGGGGGCUCGAUAUCGUCAGCAAGCUACCGAGAGCAGUUGGUGGUUAUGAAUAUUUGUUCGUGGCCAUCGACAAGUUCUCCAAAUGGGUGGAAGUGGAACUAGUGCGGAAGGUGACCGCCUAGGCGGCCAUCAAGUUUUUUAAAAGCAUGGUGUGCCGGUUGGUGUGCCUAACGGCAUCAUCACCGACAACGUCACGCAGUUCACGAGCGCAGUGUUCCAGGCUUAUUGUGAGGGCAUGGGCACCAAGUUGCACUUCGCGUCCGUUUCUCAUCCGAGGAGUAACGGGCAGGCGGAGCGAGCCAACGCAGAAGUGCUGCAGGAGCUGAAGACGAGAACCUUUGACAAGCUUAAAGGCCACGGGAAACACUGGGUUGAAAAACUCCAGCCCGUGCUGUGGUCAAUCAGGACCACACCUAGUCGGGCAACGGGCGAAACUCCUUUCGCCCUUGUCUAUGGGGUAGAAGCGGUGCUGCCCCUCGAGCUCAAGCACGGAUCUCCCCGAGUACGCGCGUACGACAACACCAGCCAACACGAGCAAAGGGUGGAUGAUCUAAACUUCAUCGAAGAGCUUCGAUGCCGGGCUGCUGUGCGAGCCGCGCGCUACCAGCAGGGACUCCGUCGUUAUCACGACAGACGAGUCCGUCCCCGGGGCCUCGAGAAUGGAGACCUUGUCCUGCGCCGGAUACAAGGAACGAAGGCCGGGAACAAGUUGACUCCGAAAUGGGAGGGCCCCUUCCGGGUAGUGCAGGUGACCAGACCGGGGGCUGUCCGGCUGGAAACCGAAGAUGGCUUGCCACCCUGGCAAGGGUGCCGAGGUCAGUGUUGGGGAAGGCAGCCGAGGACGACGAAGCCCCCGCUGCCAUUGUAGGGCUGUGCGGGGGGUCGUCUAAUUGCUCCGGGGGAUCCUGUCGUCCGUCCCCGGCAGCCUCCCCUUCACCCGCGCCCGGGGACCCCGGGGCUGGAGAAGCCCCCGUGCCCCCGACAGGAGCCGUUCCCUGCUGGGCGGCAGGCGAAUCCGCGCCAGCCGCGUCUACGGCUGCUGGCGCGUCACCAAGCGCCGUACCGGUGGUGACGGUGGCCACCGCUGCCGCCGUGGCUGGCGCCCCGUGAUCUCGACAUCAGGGUCGAGGUCAACCAUGGUUGGCUCCGCCCCCGAUGAGGGGGCGUUUGGGCCUGCAGCAACAAGGAGUGUGAGGAUUGACAAGUAAAAUGGUUAUCGGAAGCGGACAAGGGUAGCUGGGGUGGUUACCUUGCAAGGUAGAUGGACUUGCGAGGGGGGCUUCCCCCGCCUCACCCGCGCCGGCGGGAGCCUCCGAGAGGCUUGCCGCGGGUGAGCAGCCGCUUGCUGAAAAAAAACCUACGUUUGUAUGGUUAAUUGACAACUGAAAAAUGCAGCAAAGGAGGAGCGAAGGAGCCGUACCAGUCGGCGGCCCGUGAAGCGAUCCUUCCCCUUACUAGGGUUCGAUCUCUGUGUUUACUGUGCUAGUCCCUGGAUCGACUCACUAGCACACACAGUUUCAUGAUGAAAUAAACAGAAACAAAGGUCUAAGUACUUUAUUACAUCGCAUCAUCCAGAAUUUAAAUAGUACUUACAACCUCGCAUGACCUUUUGGGCCAGCAUAAAACAAAUAAUGUUUAAGUGAAAUAAAAGAGAUCUAAUCUACACCGUUGGAGAUGGAUGGACGGACGAGAUUGAACGGGGGGGCUCACCGGCGAGGCUAGGGUUCCGGCGACGGAAUCUAGCGGCGGCGCGGCUCGGGCGUGGAGGCGGGCGGCGUACGGGUGGACCUCGGGCGUCGGGGAGGACGCGGGUGCGCGCGGCACGGCACGGCGGUGCUGGUGGCGCGGUCGGCGCGGGCUCGGGCGGUCGGAGUCCUCGCCUAGGUCGAAGACGAGUGGGUGGCGCGGGCAGCGGACUCCGGCGAGCUCGGGCGGUGGUCGGCGGGGUGCUGCAGCGCGCAAAACGAAGGGAAAAGCGCGUCAUAAGAGGCGCGAGAGAGAGGGAAGGAGAGGGAGCGCGGUGGCGUCGAAGAUGGUUCACCGGCGUGGUCGGGCGCGGCGCGAGAGUGGCGGUGGCGGCGGAGCUCUUCGGCGAAGAAUCGGGGCGGCCUGGCGGCGUGAUAGCGAGGGGGAGCAGAGGGGAAGAAGAGAGGGGGUCGCGGGCUUCAAAAGGACGGGAGCGGCUCGGUUUGGGAAGGUCGGGAGGGGCGGAUCCCGGUGAUGGCGCGCGGCGGUCACGCGCGGGGAGGGCGGCGCGAUUUCGGGCGCUUGCCCGAGGUAGGGGACGACCCCGAUAGGUGGGCCCCACCUGUCGGUGGCUCGGGCGCGCGCGCGCGGGCGGCUCGGUCGGUCGGGCUGGUUCGGCCGGUUCGGCCCAAGCGGUCGGACCGUUUUUUUUUCUUUUCUUUUUCCCUUUUCCUAUUUCUUUGAUAACUUUUGAUUUUGAACUCAAAAUUGGUCCAAAUAAAUCCCAAAAAAUUUAUAAAAUCAUGUUCCACCAUGAUACAACUUUUGGGAGUAUUUUCCCCUCAAAAUAAAAUAUAUAAAAAUACAUUUGCCCUAUAAAUGCCUUUAGGGCUAUAUGUCCAUUUAAAUAAAAUACUUUUUCAACUCCAAAUAAUUAACCAAAAAUUAUGGGAUGGCUUAUAUGUGCAUUAAGCCCCUUUUAUACAUAAAACCUAUUGGUUUGAAAAUCCAAAGCUCAUAUGGGUGUAAACCCUAGGGUUUCAAAUGAAAUAAAGAAUCUUUCCAAAGCUUUUUGAUAUUCAAAAUUUGAAUUCGAAAAUGCAAUUGUGGCAUGAUGCUCAUGGAUGCAAUGCACAUGUAAAAGUUUGAAUCUUGCAGAACUUGAUAGUCUUGGAUCGGGUCUGUCUCUUAGCUGCAUCCAAGAUCCUGACCGGUUUCUCCUCAUAGGUGAGGUCACUCUGUAACUAGACUUCCUCGAGUGGAAUUGUAUCCCUCAGGGGUGUGUGGGCCAUCUCGGGGUGACACUUCUUCAGUUGCGAUACAUGGAAGACAUGGUGGACAUUGGACAGUGCUUCCGGUAAAUCCAACUUGUAAGCCACUUCUCCUUGGCGGGACAAGAUCUUGAAAGGCCCAAUGAAACGGGGUGCUAGUUUUCCUUUUAUACCAAAUCUCUUUACCCCGCGUAUCGGUGAAACUCUGAGAUACGCUCUAGCUUCGGCUUCGUAGAUGACUUCCCUACGUUUAGAAUCCGCGUAGCUUUUCUGCCUUGACUGGGCUACUUUCAACCGGUCUCGGAUGAGUCUAACCUUUUCUUCGGCAUCCUUUAUCAUAUCUGGGCCGAAUAGACUACGAUCUCCUACACCAUCCCAUAACAAUGGUGUUCGGCACUUCCUUCCAUACAAAGCUUCAAACGGUGACAUUCCAAUGCUGGCUUGGAAGCUGUUGUUGUAUGAGAAUUCUCCAUAUGGCAGAUUGUCAUCCCAACUGAAUCCAUAGUCUAGAGCGCAGGCUCUCAACAUAUUCUCAAGGAUCUGAUUAACCCUCUCGGUUUGUCCAUCCGUCUGCGGAUGAAAUGCUGUACUGAAUUCCAGUCUCGUUCCUAGAGACUCAUGUAGUUGUCCCCAAAAUCUUGAGGUAAAUUGGGUACCUCUGUCUGAAACUAUUUCUUUGGGCACUCCGUGUAAACACACUAUUUUGGAUAUGUAGCAUUUUGCUAACUGUGCGCUAGUGUAAGUAGUCUUCACAGGUAUAAAAUGGGCAACCUUGGUCAAACGGUCAACCACUACCCAAAUGGAAUCAUAUCCUGAUCUGGUCCUUGGUAACCCGGUGAUAAAAUCCAUGCCUAUUUUAUCCCAUUUCUAAUCCGGUAUAGGCAAUGGUCUCAGCAAUUCUGCUGGCUUUUGGUGUUCUGCCUUAACUCUGCUGCACACAUCACACAAGGCAAUAAACUCUGCUAUGUCACGCUUCAAUCCGGACCACCAAAAUGUUUCCUUGAGGUCCAUGUACAUCUUUGUGUUUCCAGGGUUGAUUGAGUACGGUGAAUCAUGGGCUUCUUGCAAAAUCAACUUUCUGAUUUUCGGAUCUUGCGGUACGCAAAUGCGUUUUCCGAACCAUAUGGUACCCCGGUCGUCCUCACGAAAAUCUUUGGCCUUUCCGUUAAGCAUAUUCUCUUUUAUUUCCUUUAUUUCUGAGUCAUCUUUCUGUGCUUCUCUAAUCUUAUCUAGCAGUGUGGGUUGCACUUCCAAAGUGGCUAAAUAACCUUUCGGUACUAUUUCUAGGCUGAGGUCUUUGAACUGUUCGCACAACUCUGGUGGUAAUUCUCCAGCUGUUAGUCCAUUUAUAUAGCCCUUGCGGCUCAAUGCAUCGGCUACUACAUUAGCCUUGCCUGGAUGGUAUUGUAAAUUCAGGUCAUAAUCUUUUAUCAGUUCUAACCAUCUUCUCUGCCUCAAAUUCAACUCCUUCUGAGUGAAAAUGUACUUUAGACUCUUGUGGUCAGUAAACAGCUCACAAUGCUUUCCCAUCAGAUAGUGCCUCCAAGUCUUCAGGGCGUGCACUACCGAUGUUAACUCCAAGUCAUGAGUGGGAUAGUUGUCUUCGUGGCUCUUUAGUUGCCGCGAAGCGUACGCUACAACUCUUCCUCCUUGCAUUAACACUCCUCCCAAUCCUUGACGUGAGGCGUCACAGUAUACUUGAAAAUCCUCUUGUAGGUCAGGCAAAACAAGGAUGGGUGCAGACACUAGUCUUUUCUUCAAUUCCUGGAAACUUUCUUCACAAAAUUCAUUCCAGGCAAACUUCUUCUCUUUCUUUAAAAGCUCUGUCAUGGGUUUCGCUAUUUUGGAGAAAUUCUCAAUGAAUCUCCGAUAGUAACCAGCAAGUCCAAGGAAGCUGCGGACUUCUCCGACAUUCUUCGGUGCCUCCCAUUCCGUAACUGCUGCAACCUUAGCUGGGUCAACGGCUACUCCCGCUCCUGACACUAUGUGUCCAAGAAAGCUGACUUCUGAUAACCAAAAUUCACACUUGCUGAAUUUGGCGUACAGCUGGUGUGCUCUCAACUUCUCCAAAAUCUUGCGCAGAUGCUGCUCAUGCUCUUCCUUGCUCUUGGAAUAGAUUAGUAUGUCAUCGAUGAAUACUACUACAAACUUAUCCAAGAAUUCCAUGAACACCUUGUUCAUCAUGUUCAUGAAAUAUGCAGGUGCAUUGGUCAAACCGAAUGGCAUCACGGUGUACUCGUACAGUCCAUACCUCGUGGUGAAUGUCGUCUUGGGUAUAUCCAUCUCUCGAAUUUUCAGUUGAAAAUAUCCUGAUCGCAGAUCGAUCUUUGAGAACACACAGGCUCCCUUCGGUUGAUCAAAUAGAUCAUUGAUUAUGGGCAAGGAAUACUUAUUCUUUAUCGUCACCUCAUUUAGUGAACGAUAGUCAAUGCACAUCUUUUGGCUCUUGUCCUCUUUUUCUACAAACAGGACAGGUGCUUCCCAUGGAGAUGAACUGGGGCGGAUGAAACCUUUCGCUAACUUCAGCUAGCUACUUCUUCAAUUCCUUUAAUUCAUCCACAGCCAUCUUAUACGGUCUCUUGGCUAUGGGUCCACUUCCUGGCACUAACUCAAUAAGAAACUCCACGUCACGGUCCGGUGGCAUGCCUGGUAAUUCCUCUGAAAAUACGUCUGGAUAUUCCUUCACUAUUGGUACAUCGUCCAUGCUAGCCCCCUUAAGAGCAUAAAUCUUGGGUUUCUUAAGCUCAUGGGUGGACUUGUACCGGAUGCGUCUCUUGUCUGGGGUUGUGAGUGUGACAUUCCUCUGGGCACAGUCUACUAAUCCUUCAUAUAAGGUCAACCAUUCCAUUCCCAAGAUUAGGUCCAGUCCUCGGGAAUCUAUAAUUAUGAGAUCAGAGGGAAAAUUGUGUCUCCCAAUACUUAGGGGUAGCUGGCGACAGUGUCGGGUUGCUAGUAUUGUUCCACCCGGUGAGUUCACUUUCAUGGGUUUAGCCAUGGUCUUAGAGGGUAAUUUGCCUCUUUCUACUAAUACUGAAAUGAAUGAAUGCGAUGCUCCAGUGUCAAACAGAAAUAGUACUUCAAAAGCAUUAAUGUGGAAGGUGCCAAGUAUGAUACCUGAUUCCUCGGUGAUUUCUUCCACAUCCACGUGAUUCACGUGGCCCUUCUGGAAUGGAUUGGGCUUGUUCCCAGUACCAUCUUGGUUGUCCGGGCAGUUGGUGGCAUAGUGUCCCAUCUUGUGACAGUUGUAGCACUCCACCUUGGUCAUGUCCUUAUUGGCAUUGUGGUUCUGACCAUUGUUGUUCUGGCCAUUGCCGUUGUUCCUGCCAUUCCCAUUGCCAUUGAUGGGCCUUGGGCGAGCGAACUGGUGCUGUUGCUGAUGCUGGUGCUGCUGAUGGUGCCGGUUCACAUUGCCACCCUGAUGGUGGUGUCCUUGGCUUCCUUGGCGGUGGUGGUGACUAUUUCCUCCACUGCGGUGGCUGUUCUGGUUCCCGUUCCAACUCAAGGAGGAACUGCCACUUCCAUCAUAGGAGGUGCGCUGCUUCUGGUGCGGGCCAGUGUGAGAGCCUCCUUGGUGAAAUCUCUUCUUGCGGUUUUCCAACUGAGUGAGCUUACUCUCCAGAAUGAUGGCCUUGUCAAUCAAAGACUGGUAGGUGGGGGUGUAAGCAAUAGCAAGUUGAACUGACAGUUCGUCGUUCAGACCGUCCAAAAACUUCUCCCUGCGCUUGGCAUCAGUGUUCACAUCAUCCGGUGCAUAGCGGGACAGUUGGCUGAAAACAUCUAUAUAUUCUGACACAGAGCGGCUUCCAUGUCGCAGCCUAUGAAAUUCUUUCUUCUUCAGGCUGAGCACUCUCGCAGAGAUGUGGGCGGUGCGAAAGGCUUCCUGGAACAUGUCCCAGGUGACAUCCUCGAUGGGGAUGGUGAUCUGAAAAUUUUCCCACCACGACGCUGCGGGUCCUUCUAGCAGAUAAGCUGCAAACCGCACUUUCUCUUCCUCAGUGCAGUUGAUGGUGACCAAAUUCUUAUUGACUGAACAAAGCCAAUCGUCAGCCAUAAUAGGCUCAGUGGAGCUGAAAAAAGUGGGCAGGCGCAAACGUAGAAAUCUAGUCAGCAUAUGCACUUGGGGUGGGUGGUGCUGCUGGUUGUUGUGGUUCUACUGGUUGUUGUUGUUGUUGUUGUUGUUGGCCAACUGUUGGGUGAUCAUCUGGAAGAAUUAGGUCUGGGCAGCUAAUAGCUGCUGCAUGGUGGCAGCAUUCCCUUCUGCGUCGGCGUUGUUGGUGGGGUUCCGGCGUCUCGGAGGCAUCAGUUUAGGGUAGCAUAGAUGAGGAAACAGAUAGAAUAGAGCUAAGGAUAACUAAACCCCCAAACAAGAUAUAACUUAAGCAUAUAUCAAUCAUCCACUCAUCAAUCAUAAAAGGUUUUGAAAAAAACAUAGCAAAACAAACUUGUUUAUGGUGGGACAUUGCCCAUAAAGAAAAGAGUACAGGGAAAAAAGCAAUCUGCCUACAUUGCCAUACACAUAGAUUGUAUGGUCAAUGACUAACUCGCAACACUGAUAACGAAAAGAAAAGAUAAAUCUGGUAGGCAUCAACAGAACUAGGGGAGUGUGGCUGUCGGUGUGGUCCCGUUCGCCUUCAUCUUGGAGCGGGUGUUUGUAGCAGGGGUGUCCAUCUCGUGGACCUCCUGGGGAUCCUCCUCCUCAGUCGGUUCCUCCUCCUGAGGCUCCAUGUCCUGAUCCUGUGGUGGAGGUGGGACCUGGACAGGCGCCGGUGCUACAGCUGGUGCGGCUACGGCUGCAGCUGCGAUGAAUGCAUGGAACUGCUCGCAGUAGUAGCGAGCCUGGUCCCUCUCAUACUGCAGCUGCUCGAUGGCAUCUCCCAUGUUGAGGACAGUGUUCUCCAACACGGCCUUGUCCUCCAGCCACUGGGUCUUCUCUCCCAUCAGGUUACCAAUCUGUUCCUCAGCUAGGUCGGCCCUGGUCAUCUCGUGCUCGAGGCAAGACUACAAGUCCACGGUGUUUAUCUCCAUGUUCUCGAAGUGGGUCGUCACUGGGGUCGCAUCCUCGUCGUUGGUCGUAGCCACCGCCGACCAUGCAUGAUUCCGCCUCCCAAAGAGGAGGAAGGGGGGAUCCUCGAGGAACUCGUGCCGAUAGUCCCGGCACACCUGUGCGAAGGCGCACUGCAUGGCGAACUGAAGGCCCUGCUCGAAGGUGGGGUAGCGGCUGAUGAAGGUGAUAUCCGGCGUAGCUGGCGCGAUCUCACGCCCCCGGAUCUUCGGCUCGAUCUACCACCGUGGCUGCCAUCCCUCGGGUGCGGCGGUCUCAACUCGGCCUCUGAACCUAGGUGGUGGCAGGUCGAGGAACGCACACAGUACCGCCAAAGGGGCACUGAACAACUGGUCGUCAUCCGUGGAGGGGUAGUAGAUGCGGGUGAACGGCGGUACAUUGCCGAACGGUGUUGGGCUUCACAUCUAUAGAAAAUAAAGAAGGUAGAUAAGGGAGUAUCAGUGACAUGAUUAAAUGGUCGAAUGUAAGUAAAAUAGAAUAAAAGUGAUAGAGUGGGAAUCAAGUGAUGAACAUUAAUAUCAAGGGUGGAAAUGUAAAUAUAAAAUUGGAUGCAUAAUAUUAUGUGAAUAACAUGGCAACAUGAUUAUAAUGGUGUAUGGUGUAAGAAUCAAAUAUGCAUCUGUGGUAUAAUAUAAUAAACAUGCAUAUGUGGUAAUAAGCAUAGUAUUCCGUGUAUAUAUGGGAUAAAACAAUAAACAUGCCAUGCAUAUGCAAGAUAUAAAUGCAAAGAUUUAUAUACGUGUAUAUAUAUAUGUAUAGAUCUGAUAGGGAUAAAAAAUAAUCCUAAGUUUUGGUCUUUGGUCUGUCUUAUUCUAAUCCAAACUAGGGUCACGUUCCUACAGGCAAGACAUUGCUCUGAUACCAUCUGAAGUGAUCCUUCCCCUUACUAGGGUUCGAUCUCUGUGUUUACUGUGCUAGUCCCUGGAUCGACUCACUAGCACGUACAGUUUCAUGAUGAAAUAUACAGAAACAAAGGUCUAAGUAUUUUAUUACAUCGCAUCAUCCAGAAUUUAAAUAGUACUUACCACCUCGCAUGACCUCUUGGGCCAGCAUAAAACAAAUAUUGUUUCAUCAUCCUAAAACAAGGUUUCAAAACUGCAGUGGAAAAAGGGUAGAUCAUAAGGGCCACACUACUCCAAGGUGAGAGCAUGUUGGAAUGUAAGCACAUGACCCACGACAAAACGACGAACCUCACUCAUCGUCGGAUCCACCUGCAUUGUUAAUUGCAGCCACUACGUGGUCAAUACAUUUGAAUGUAUUGGCAAGUUCACCAGAGAUAUAACAGAUCCUAUCAAGUAUAUGUAGUAUUUUGCUAGGUAGAGUUUGGCUAUUUGCAUAAAAGCCUCAUUGUUUAACCCUAUCAUUUUUAAACAAAUAGUGGUAGAAAUACCCAUGCUCCUAUUAACCUAGGCACAUUGAGUAGAAACAUCAAUGUUCCUACCCAGUUCAAUCCAUUCGUUUUAUUAGGAAAUUUGAAUGAGUGAGACCUUCCUUACAGUUCCAAUAUCUAGUUGCUCAUAAUUGUCCGUAACCGGGGACACGGCUAAGUACUUAGUUUGACACUCUCGAGAGGUGGUACACUUACCCACAAGAAAUCGACGUGUUAAUCCCUUGCUGUCCUCAGGGUAGAGUAGCAACGGCAUCGACUACAGGAAUUUUCAGAAAAUAAUCCCCCAGACCACCUGAGGGACGUCCCCCCACCUACACUGCUACAUACCGAUGUCACCUCGGAUCCGGGUUCAUAUUUCUUACAUCCAUCCUGGCAGAGCCCAUAAUACCAUGUGGUUGUACUGGAAGCUACUAAACAUGAAACUAGUCCAGUCUCUGGUUACCCCGGGUGGCAUCCCACAUUGUGACGCAGGCGCUCCCCGAAUCGCACGGGGAGACGACCAUGGACGCUCCCGAAUCGCACGGAGAGACGACUCAGCGGGCCCCAUAGAAAUGGACCUAACGUCACGACAUCCGAAUACUCAAAGCAGCCCACCCAGGACGAUUCAUUGAAUUACUUGUUUUGCCACACACUAGGAAAAUCAUAUUGUUAUUCAAUAGUAUCACAUUGUGAUAAUACCACCCUCGUAUAUUAUCAUAGCAUAGCAUUUUACUACUACGAUGGCGAUUGGUGGUGUGGACAUGGCAAAGGGUAUCCUAUACUACUAGGACAGAUCAUAGCUAGCAUAGAUACAGUAAUAAUCCUAACAAUGCAACUAAUAAAAGCUAGUGCAUAAUAAAAUAAUGGGUAAAUGAUCAAAGUGACCUUGCCUUCAGAGUAGUUCGUAUUCAAACACUCUUCGCAAUCACACAGUUCGCUCUCCGAGAAAACUAUACAAUCAAGCAAACAUACACGUACAUAAACACACCAUACAAGCAAAAGAAUAUGUAUGCCAUGAUGCAAUGCAAAACAUGUGACAUGAGUUUGGUUUAUUUUAUUUGGGUGAUCUACUGAUCUAAGGCCUUGAGAAUUAAGCACAUGCAAUUAGGUUUUUUAAGCAAAAGCAAAGGCUAGGGUUUAAAUCCUAAAAUGAGGUUUUAUUGGCAUCAGCCAAAUAGAUUAAUUCAAAAUAUUUAUUUCUCUGUCCCAUUGGACAGGGGACAAUAAAACAAAAUUUUGGGCACUGGUUUCAUUCAAAAAGGACUUCUAAAUAAAUAGUUGUGAUUUAAAUGGCAUAAAACCCUAAUCUAUAAUUUGAAUGUGAUUCAAAAAUUGAAAUUUGAAUUUGGACAGUGCCAAAAGAUUCUACAUUUCCUAAGGAUUCCAAAACGGUGUGGAUCAUUAAAUUUGGCCAAACAGAUUAAAAGUUAUGAUCAUUUGAAGUUGCAGGGGCUUUUCUGCCAAAGUGCAUUUUAUUAAUUCCGGGGAAUUAAAAUUAAAUUUUCAUUUUAUUUACGCAGUGACACAUGGCGGCUCCUGAUUGGUGUGUACCGGUUCGUUUAAGUUAAAUAAAAGAGAUCUAAUCUACACCGUUGGAGAUGGAUGGACAGACGAGAUUGAACGGGGGGGCUCACCGGCGAGGCUAGGGUUCCGGCGACGGAAUCCGGUGGCGGCGCGGCUCGGGUGUGGAGGCGGGCGGCGUACGGGUGGACCUCGGGCGUCGGGGAGGACGCGGGUGCACGCGGCACGGCACAGCGGUGCUGGUGGCGCGGUCGGCGCGGGCUCGGGCGGUCGGAGUCCUCGCCUAGGUCGAAGACGAGUGGGCGGCGCGGGCGGCAGACUCCGGCGAUCUCGGGCGGUGGUCGGCGGGGUGCUGCAGCACGCAAAACGAAGGGAAAAGCGCGUCAAAAGAUGCGCGAGAGAGAGAGAAGGAGAGGGAGGGCGGUGGCGUCGAAGAUGGUUCACCGGCGUGGUCGGGCGCGGCGCGAGAGUGGCGGCGGCGGCGGAGCUCUUCGGCGAAGAAUCGGAGCGGCCUGGCGGCGUGAUAGCGAGGGGGAGCAGAGGGGAAGAAGAGAGGGGGUCGCAGGCUUUAAAAGGACGCGAGCGGCUCGGUUUGGGAAGGUCGGGAGGGGUGGAUCCCGGUGAUGGCGCGCGGCGGUCACGCGCGGGGACGGCGGCGCGAUUUCGGGCGCUUGCCCGAGGUAGGGGACGACCCCGAUAGGUGGGCCCCACCUGUCGGUGGCUCGGGCGCGCGCGCGCGGGCGGCUCGGUCGGUCGGGCUGGUUCGGCCGGUUCGGGGCCGGUUCGGCCCAAGCGGUCGGACCGGUCCGGUUCACCCUUUUUUUUUCUUUUCUUUUUCCCUUUUCCUAUUUCUUUGAUAACUUUUGAUUUUGAACUCCAAAUUGCUCCAAAUAAAUCCCAAAGAAUUUGUAAAAUCAUGUUCCACCAUGGUAUAACUUUUGGGAGUAUUUUCCCCUCAAAAUAAAAUAUAUAAAAAUAGAUUUGCCCUAUAAAUGCCUUUAGGGCUAUAUGUCCAUUUAAAUAAAAUACUUUUUCAACUCCAAAUAAUUAACCAAAAAUUAUGGGAUGGCUUAUAUGUGCAUUAAGCCCCUUUUAUACAUAAAACCUAUUGGUUUGAAAAUCCAAAGCUCAUAUGGGUGUAAACCCUAGGGUUUAAAAUGAAAUAAAGAAUAUUUCCAAAGCCUUUUGAGAUUCAAAAUUUGAAUUCGAAUAUGCAAUUGUGGCAUGAUGCUCAUGAAUGCAAUGCACAUGUAAAAGUUUGAAAUUUUGGGAUGUUACAUGGCGGCAGCCUCCGCCUCAGGAAUGGAGUAGGAGAGACUGGAGAAGCAGUUGAUGAAGCUCCGCAACGUCUCCCCCGGUUUCUGCACGACCACGUGCAGCUCCGCCAUGGUUCCCGAGCGCAUGUAACCGCCCUGGAACGCAUUCACAAACUGCUCGUGCAGGUUAGCCCAGGAGUCUAUGGACCCGGCGGGCAGGUUGAGCAACCAGGUCCUCGUUGAUCCCUUGAGGACCAUCGGGAACCAGUUGGCCCUGACCUUGUCGUCGACGCCGAUGGCGUGCAUCCCCAACGUGUAGGUCAGGAGAAAAUCCUUGGGGUUCACGGUUCCGUCGUAUGUCCCGAGCGCCGGUGCUCAGAACUUGCGGGGCCAUGUCACCCGGUGCAGCUCGCGAGUAAACACGGCGCAGCCGUCCUCGGCACCCAUGGGAGCAUCCUCCUACUCUUCUGGGCAUUGGGGUUGCCGGGGGAGCCCCCGAGCGCUCUCUUCCCUUUCUGUUAAGUGGCUACUUGCUACUUCUAGACUAAAUCUCUCGGGAUUGCAAUCUACGCUCGAGUCUAACCUUCAGAAAUCGGAACCCCUUGACUGGUGGCGCGGGUCCUUCUUUUAUACUCAAGGGGAUACCAAAGGUGCCACAGUCUGCAUGGGGGACGCGUCCUAGGACACGCGUCGAACAGAGGCCCAAGGCAGCUGCCUUCGCUGCGCUGGCAUGCAUGCACGGUGAGACGCACUAUAGCUAGGGCCACACGUGCCCUAGAUUCACUGUGGGCUACUCACUGCAAGCUACUCACUGUAGGUUGACUAGACGGGUAACCUCCUCCCUAUCGGAGCAUUUAAUGCUCAGCUUGUGCCACACUCCACGCUCUGACCAGCCCUGCACAAAAGGAGCCUGCCGGGCAGCCACGUGGCGUCGAUACUCUUCUUGCUGGGCAUCGGCCCUGUUGUAAACGCCUGCGCCAGGGAACACUCUCCCCGGCAAGUGGGCUUCUCGGGGGGCGUCCUGACGGGGAUCUUCACGCUGUCUUCCGAGGUAACCCCCGCAGCCCGGCUAGUCCUGGUCCACGGCAAACCCCUUCCCAGGCUCCUGGGGGCUGGUGCCUUCCCGGGCAGCCCGCACCGCGCUGCCCAGGGUGCCGUCCUUGCAGGAAGCAAGUGAGGCGACCCACGCGUUGAGCAACGGUGGUACCUCGGGUGCCAUUAGUGCGACUACGGCGUGCCGAAAUCGAUGCUGGUCGCUGGAUCUUUCAGGAUAUAGGCACCGCCUAGGAUUACUUUGGAUAUGAUGUAAGGCCCCUCCCAUGGCGAUGCCAAUUUAUGAUGAAUUUUCUGUUUCAGCCGAAGGACUAGAUCGCCCUCAAUGAAUGAGCGACGGCGUAGUCGACGGUCGUGAUAGUUGCAGAGACUCUAUUGGUAGACCGUUGACCGAGCGAGGGCGAUGUCACGUGCCUCAUCUGCUGCGUCGAGUGCAUCUUCCAUACCUUCUGUGCAGUCUGGUCCGGCGUAUGCUGCGACCCGAGGUGCAUUGUACCUCACCUCGGAUGGCAGAACUGCCUCUGCCCUGUACACCAUAAAGAAAGGGGUGAACUGCGUGGAAGAAUUUGGUGUAGUGCGAAGGCUCCAGAGUACCGAGGGGAGUUCUUCGACCCACACGCCAGCUACUCUCCGCAAGGGUGUCAUCAACCUUUUCCGUAUGCCUUCAGUGAGCAGACCAUUGGCCUUUUCGACCUGGCCAUUUGUCUGCGGGUGCACGACUGCAGCGUAGUUGAUUCGGAUCCCCAUCUGCCCGUAGAAGUCCUGAAAAUCGGCUGCUUUGAAGUUGCUUCGAUUGUCUGUGAUGAUGCUGUGAGGAACGCCAAAACGGAAAACGAUGGAUCUGAAGAAUUGGAUAGCUGUUGUAGAUGUGGCGCUUGCAAUUGGCAUGGCCUUGAUCCACUUUGAAAAUUUGUCAAUGGCGACUAGCAGAAAAUGAUGUCCUCCAUGACACGACUUCCUCAACGGGCUUACCAUGUCGAGUCCCCAUUGCGCAAAAGGCAAGCGAUGGGAAUUGUCUUAAGUUCAGAAGCUGGGGCAUGCAGCUUCGUGGCGAACAUCUGACAUGCCUCGCAUUUGCUGACAAUAGCCUGAGCGUCGAGUAGGGCCAUGGGCCAGUAGAAUCAAGCUCUGAAGGCUUUGACGGCGAUUGUUUUGCUUCCGGCGUGGUACCCGCACGUGCCCUGAUGGAUAUCUAGGAGGAUAUCAUGUCCUUCUUCUGGUGCAAUACAUCUCUGAAAAAUGCUAGAGACACUGCGUUUGUACAACUCACCGUUGAUCACUGUGAAAGCUUUCGAUCGCCGCAUAAUCCUUCUAGCUUCGGUUGUAUCCUCUGGCAACUCCUGCCGGAGCAUGUAUGCGAGUAGUGGCUACAUCCAUGUUGGUUCAAUUGCCAUGACUUCAACUACACCAUCUUCUGCUUGCUCGGCUACGGGGCUGUCAGGUGAAACCGGUGAUUCGGUUAGAAGUUCUGAGUUGGACGACUUUUUGACUGAGGAAAUCGUGCUCUUCUCUUUGAUGGAUCGUAGAUGAAUGAUUUCCAAAAAAAGUCCAGGCGGAACUACUGCUCGCGUGGAUCCCAGGUUGGCUAAUUGAUCAGCCUCUACGUUACUGGAUCGGCUGACAUGCCCAAGCUCACAACCGUCAAAAUUGCCCUCCAAUGUGUUGUACAUAUUACAGCAGGCGAUCAUGGUGUCUGAUACUGCAUCGCAGGUCUUCAUUGUUUGUUGCACAACCAAAUUGGAGUCGCCAUAGAUCAUUAGAUGAGUGGCGCCACAUGCUUUUGCCAUCCGCAUGCCAUGCAACAAGGCCUCAUACUUGGCUUCGUUGUUGGAGGCGUUGCGGAAGUGCAUCUGAAAAACAUAGCGCAUCUUGUCCCCUUUUGGCGAGAUCAGUAUUACUCCUGCCCCUGCACCUUCUGCUCGUUUGGAUCCAUCGAAGUACAUGGUCCAGGCACUCGUCAAGUCGGGCAGACUUGGAGUCUGCAUCUCGGUCCACUCAGCGAUGAAGUCUGGCAGUACUUGCGACUUGAUUGCUUUCUAGCGCUCGUAUGUGAUAUUCCUGGGUGAGAGCUCGAUUCCCCAUUGGGCGACACGACCUGUUGCCUCUGGGUUACUGAGAAUGUUGGUGAGUGGAGCCUCACUCACCACGACGAUCGGGUGCUGCUGAAAAUAGUGUUCCAGCUUUCGGGCCGUCAUGAAUACUCUGUAUGCCAGUUUCUGAUAAUGUGGAUAACGUUGCUUCAUGAGAGAUAACACUUCACUAACAUAGUAUAUCGGCCUCUGGACUGGCUGCGCUUUCCCUUCUUCUGCUCUUUCUACUACCAAGGUAGUGCUGACCACCUGAUUUGUGGCGGCGAGGUAUAGCAAGAGCUGCUCAUUCUCGAGUGGAGCUACAAGGACAGGUGAAUGCGCUGCUGGCCUCGGGUGUCCAUGUAAAUUUAUCUCCCUUUUUGAGUAGCUGAUAAAACGGCAGAGCCUUUUCUCCCAAUCUGCUAAUGAACCGGCUGAGGGCUGCCACUCUUCCUGUAAGCUAUUGUACUGCAUGGAUGUUUGUUGGUUCCUUCGUUGUCACGAUUGCUCUGAUCUUGUCUGGAUUUGCUUCGAUUCCCCAUGCAGAAAGAAAGUAACCCAGAAGCUGCCCUACAGGUACUCCGAAAACGCAUUUCGUCGAGUUAAGCUUGAUCCGAUACUUGUCAAGAUUCUGGAAUGUCUCUCGAAUAUCUUCUAAUAGAGUAUCUUCAGUCUUUGUCUUGAUAACGAUGUCGUCGAUGUAGACUUGAACAUUUCUGCCAAGCUACGCCCCAAGACAUGCUUGCAUGCAGCGUUGAUAUGUAGCGCAUGCGUUUUUCAGUCCAAAAGGCAUAGUUGUGUAGCAACAAACUCCAUAAGGUGUUAUGAAUGCUUUCUUGUCUUCAUCCUCCUUCUUCAGUCGAAUCUAACUGUACCCAGAAUAUGCAUCAGGAAUGACAAUCGAGCACAUCCCACAGUCGAGUCGACGAUCUGGUCGAUUGGAGGCAGGGGGAAAUGAUCUUUUGGGCAAUGCUUGUUCAGUGAGGUGAAAUCAACGCACAUGCGCAAAACUUUCAUGUUCUUCUUCGGGACAAGCACGGGGUUCACUACCCAGGUAGCUUGUAUGAUCUCCUGGAUGAACUUGGCAUCGAGUAAGCGAUUGACCUCUUCACCAAUAGCCUUCCGCUUGGGCUCUGAAAAUCGUCGCAAUGGUUGCCUGAUGGGCUUGGCAUGCUUGUCCACAUGUAGAGAGUGCUCGGCGAGUUCCCUGGGAAUACCCGGCAUGUCGGAUGGUACCUAGGCAAAAAAUUCCAAUUCUCGCAUAGAAACUCGACGACCGCGCUUUCCUAUGCGGGAGGAAGGCUCGAAGACACCACACUGUUUUGCUGGAAUCUGUUGGGUGUACCUGAUGCUCUGUUGUGUCACUCUUCAUGCUGAACUCUAUCUGUGGUGGCGCUUUCUUCGUCAUGGAAAGUACGUCGUUGUCCGUCGUUGCCUUCACAGAGGCGAGUUCCGUCUGCAUGCCGAAUGAUUCAGCAAGCUUGUGGAACUCUCUGUCACAAUUGUCCGAUCUUGUAAAGCUUCCUCGGACGGUGAUUAUGCCAUAGGGUCUAGGCAUUUUCAGCAUGAGAUAUGCAUAAUGCGGGAUGGCCAUGAAUCUGGCGAGUGCUGGCCGGCCUAGAAGCACAUGGUAUUCGAUUUCCAGUCGAGUACUUCAAAAUCGAACCGUUCUUUGCGAAAGUUGGCGGGGUUGCCAAAGACAACGUCGAGGCUAACCCAGCUUAAUGGUACUGCCGGUUUUCCUGGGACAAUUCCGUGAAAAGAUGUGUCUGUGGCUUGGAGAUUCGUUAAUGAUCUGUUCAUUGCCCUUAGUGUAUCCGCAAAUAUGAUGUUAAUGCCACUGCCUCCAUCUAUGAACACCUUGCUCAUCUCGUAGCCUCCCACCUGAGCGUCGAGGACUAGUGCUGACUGUCCUGGCCUCGGAAUCUGAGGUGGGUGAUCUGCCCGUGAGAAUGAAAUGGUGACCUCGGACCAGUCGAGGUACUCUGGGGUGGUGGGUGGUGCUGCCAUAGCCAGAUGAACUUGUUGAGUGAUAACCUUUUGAUGCCUGUUGGACGGCCUUCCUUUCUGUAUCAUGCAGAUAUUUCCCAAAGGCGCUGGAUACGUGUCGUACCAGUGGCCCGCGGGGUCCCACUGAUACGGGACGUGUGGGUCGCCAGUGACGAAGCCCCGUCAGGAAGGCCUCCCGGGAAGCGUUGAGUCUGGGGAGCCUGCCUCGAGGAAACGGCCCUUGGUGGGGGAGAAGCUAAGGGCCGAUUACAAGAAGCCCCCAGGAACCCCGAUCCUGGGAAGCUGAAGGAAUGCCUCCCGGCAACCAGCUGGGUGUGCUAGCCGGGGAGGGGCACCCCACCAACCCGCGCUCGGGCAUGCAGGCACGGCGGGCGCAGUGCAUUUAAUGCACGGACAAGAGUCUUAUCGGCAGGCCUAGUCCUGCUGAGCAAGGCUAGGGCGUCUAACCUGCGAACCAUUUUUUCUAUCGUGUACAGUAGACAGGGCGCUGCAUGGCGUCCAGCGCGGAUCAACCAAAGUGUAUCUCGUGUGGCCGUGACACGCGUCUGGGAAACGUGUUGCGCUGCAUGCUUAGGCACCUGUGGUAUCCCCAUGUCUAUAAAAGGAGGACCAAUGCCAUCGGUCAAAGGGUUCCAACCCCAAUUAUUAGAACAUAGCACAGCGUUCACCUAAGUAGCCAACCCGGGAACCUCUCGGGUGAUCUGUACGCACUCAAACUUGUGAAUACAACUCAAAGUAGGACGUAGGGUAUUACACCUCCGGGUGGCCCAAACCUGGGUAAACUCUUGUGUCUAUACUUCGUGUCUAUCGCAACGCCGGCGAUCGCCGGAGCGAUCAUCUCGCCCUCCACCGAACCAAAAAGGGGGUGCCCGGCAUCCCCGGUGCCGAAGACCGUGCUCCGACAAUACACGUCAGCUAUCGCUGGUGGUUCUGAUGGCCGUGACGCGGGCUGCAUGUGUUGCACAGAUCCGGCAAAAUUUGGUGGCAGUGGAGGGGGUGGCGGCGCGUUAUGCGCGAUCAUGCCAGCUCGAGUGGCGUGUGGCAGAGCCAGAGUGUUAGGAUUAUUCCUUGCUGGUUGCUGACCUGGCCCCCGAGGGUAAUCCCUGCUUGCCAUUGAGUUCUGAAAUUGGCUGCAUGUGUCCUGCAACUCGUAGAAACGAUGGCACUCGCACAGUGUGUGGCCGCACCUUAUAUUUCCAUCAGCAUCCCUGGUGCUGUGGAAAGGGCAGGGAGACGACAGCUGUUGUGUCAAUGACAAAGCAGGUUGUCCAUCUCGCCGCAAUCUCCGGGGCUGCCACUACUAGUUCUUGUUGCUGUCUCAGUAGUUACCACGGUUACUUCUAUCCCGAUGUCCUUCAUGAUUUCCUUCACCUCGAACACCACCAUUACGGCCGAACUCUGCUGCUACAAACUCGGGGGCGUUGGGCUCCUGCUCCUUUCGCUUCUUUCUUCUCUCGGUGUUGCGACCGUGUCCUCGCUCGGCUUCUUCAUCAUCUGGUAGUGCAUUGUGCUCAUUCCGAAUUGAAUCUUCUCCAUCUACCCACUCAUUUGCUAUCUCCAUCAGAUCUGCAACCGUUUUUGGCCUACUCCAUCCCAGUUCUUCCUUAAAAGUGACACACUUCAACCCACGCUUAAAGGCGUCGACCGCGCUCUCGUCUGAUAUCUCUUCUGCUGCAUUUUUUAGGGACGUCCAUCGUUGUAUGUACGAUCGAAUGGACUCACUCGACCUCUGUGUGCAUGCUCGAAGUUCUUCCAAUGAGACUGGCCUUUUAUAUGUUGCCCAAAAUGUGCGGGUAAAAACUUGGUAGAGCUCGUCCCACGAGCCUAUUUCACCUUCUGGCAGACUAGCCAGCCAGGUGCGAGCAUGCCCCUUGAGCUGCAACUGUAAACACUGCAUGGCUGUGUUCUUCGUUCCUCCCUUCAGUCGCACCAUUGUGAGGUAAUCUUCUAACCAAGCUCUCGGCUCCUAGGAACCGUCAAACUUGAUUGCGCUCGAAGAUACUGAAAAAUUAUCACGCAUCUUCGAGUUGCAAACGCGACGGCUAAAGCAGGCCGCACCGCAAGGUUCAUCUUCUUCCUCUAUGAUGCGGCCAACACGGGCUGACCGCUCGUGAUCGAUUCUCUGCUGCGUAAUGAUAUCACAAGCAUCUCCUAGUACGAGGUUGUUGCGGCGACGAUGAGGCUGUUCUUCCAGUCCCUGUUGUGGAGGAGUGUGUGAUUGUUUUGUCGUGGGGAGCUGCCGUCCCUAUGCCGUCGGGGCUCCAUCUGGUUCGAGUUGGGGCCCAUGAGGCCAUUCCCGAUGAGGCCCAAGCCGGCCAAGACCUGCUUGUGGAUUGCCGCCUUCGGGUCGUCAUCCGGUGGCAUGGUGGAUAGGAGGUACGUGUUUUCAACGACCACAGCUCCUUGUGGCGUCCGGGGAAGCAACUCUCCCUGGGUAUUGACUGUCAUCUGUUCGUCCUCCAAACUUGCGUGUCUUGCCGAGGCGAUCUCGCUCGGGGAUAUUGUUCAACCGAGAUUGAUAGCGCGGCGCUCUGUAUCUGGGGGUGCUCCGGGAGCAGGCACUGCGACUCUGUGCUGAGAGCUGUCUACGAGCACUCGAAGCGUCGGCGACUUCCCUCCGCCGUUGGAGCUCCGCCUGCUCCUCUCGCAGUCGAGCAUGCGUAGUGUCUAGCGCAUGGUGGUAUGCCAUCAUCUCGUUGCGCGUGGCGUCUGCUAGCAAAGGGUUGGUGCCGUUAAGAGCAGCCUCGACCCGAGCUUCUUCUUCCGGCGUGAGAAUGAUCGUUGGCCGAUCAUUGGUCACGUCUCUUGCUCGUGCCUCGGCGAAGAUGGUUUUGCCGGCGCGUUGUCCAUCUCCACUGCUCUCGCCUACUUCCGCUGCGAAGACCUGUGCCAAGGUCAUGCGACGGAUCAUAGUUGCAUCAGCGGGAUUGAUUGCUACACUCGAACGGGUAUUGACGUUGUAAGGAGUGGAAGCUUCAGCGAACACCGAGUGGUGCGAAUCGCACUCGGUGCGAAAAAAUUUGGCCAAAAUUUGCCCUGUUUCGCCCAGCGAGCACAUCGAUGGUGAAGGAUCAGUCGGUGACGCCACCAGAGACUCGCAGAUCUGUCUUGUCAGUGACAGAUCUGUGAAGCUGAUGAUUCCUUCGCGGCUGACUCGGAGGUCAAAACCUCUGAACGACAGCUCCAGAAGAUCGCGAAGGUUGCGGAAGGCCGAGCGCAAUGUCGGCGGGUGAGCUGAGAAGCUCAAGGAUCCGAAGCGGAUCGGCUCCUCCACGGUUGUCACGUUGCGGAUUGAGAGCGACAUGGUCGAGAAGAUCGUAGAUCUGAUGCACUUCUUCCUCACGGUCGGCGCCAAUGACGAGGGGCUACCUCGGCAGUACCCUAACUCGAGGGUUUUCGACUGAGGGAGAGCACGGGGUGCACCAGCGAUCUUGUCGACUAACAAAAACUUAGGAAGUCACAAGGUUUACCCAGGUUCGGGGCCCUCGGAAGGUAAUACCCCUACGUCCUGCUUUUGGUGUAUCGUAUUGAUCGAGAUUAUAGAGAAGCUAUAAAGCUAUGGUGCGCAGAUGAAUCUGGCGUGUGUGUAGAGGUUGGCCAUUCCCGAUCCCCCUCCUAGCCUUAUAUACUGGCAGCUAGGUCUCGGACGUGAUAACCGGAAAGCUUACAAUCAGAUCAGUUCAUUCCGGUAUGAAAAGAUGAUGUUCCUUGGAUUGAGCCGCACUUUGAGGGACUCAACCUGCAUAUACUUGAUGGGCUUUUAAGUGGACCCUCUGUUGGGCUGUAUCGGGUAUAUGAAGGUUGAGUACUCGAAGGGUCGUUUCCUCGUCAACGGGAUUAAGUGCAAACCGGACACGUGGUUAGACAAACCGCUUCGGAUAGCCUUAAGGACUAAAAGUGUCCGGUUUUGAAAGUUCAGUGAUAAAAAAGUACGAAUUGUUUUUGAGGGACGGGAAACGAAUUUUCCGACAAGUUGAAGGACCAAAAAUAUACUUUUCUCUAAUUAUUAACAUUUCGUAGCUUAUCCACUGUAUCAGCAACAUCCAUCGUCACUGCAGCGAGUUCAGAAUUCCUUUCUGAAUUUGUAGAGUAGCGCAUAUAUGUGCAUGACGAUCGAUCUUGUCUAAAUCCCAGUGAGUUGAAACUUGUGAGAGGAUUGGAAAUUGGAGGAUCGACACCAAUUAUUAACCAGCAAAUGUCAAUGCGUCGCAUUCUGACGGCCCAUCGUUCCCAGAUUGCUAGCGACGUAGGUUUUGGCGGGGGCAUCUUCUUCUACAGCGGCGCUAGCCCCACGGACGCAGCAAAGUCAAUGUUCAAAACGGUGUUCGGCUAGCUAGCUAGUUGUGGCUUUCUCGUGUAACAGUGCGGCGAUUCUUGGCCACUGAAAGGACGAUGGAUUUGGAUCAGACGAAUUUUAUAGGAACCGCACGUGUUUCUGUAGGGGGAUUACUUCUAUAGGCACUAGAAAUUUUCACAUUUCAACUCUCUAAUCAUCGUGGAAUCUUAGAUUUCGUCCCUGUAAUCUACGGAGUAAAAGCGAACGUAUCGCACCGUACAGCCUAAAAGCGAACAUAUCGUGCGUAUUGUAUUACACCCUGUGCUCGUGGUUUAUUAUUGCAAUCUGCGUGACAUGUUCAAUAGAGAAACUAAAGAAAUAUAAAUUUUGGAAAAGUGAAAGUAAUAAAAAGAAUGCACUUGCAAAAACAAGAACCAAAUAAAAAAUAAAAAGGAAACGUACGAUUUUAUAAAAGAGUGAAAUGUUCAUCAAAGUCUACAAUUUGAGAAAAACUCAAAUUAUUGCUUUGUUUAUCAAAAUAUUUAUCACAAAUCCUUUUAGCCUAUCAGUUUGGUGUAAACCUUAUGUACUUUUCAGCUUUUUUACCAUCUCUCCUCUUUCGCUGAAAGAAAUUAUAUGGGAUAGGGCCUCGUGGGGUGCAUUGUGAACUAUAUCCCCAAGUUGCUCUAAUCUGGUGAAUUGGGUCAAGUGAAAAAACAAAUACUGCGUAGGGCCUUGCAGGUGGGUCUGUCGUCUUGUUAGAUUUGCUGUCAAAUGCUUUAAUCUCGAGAAGAAUUCGGGUCAAGUGAAAAAAAUUACCCUCUAAAAUUGUGGCAAAUUUAUACGAACCCCUCCGAUUGAACCUAAGUUUUGUGGUAUUUACUCUGGCUUACAGGACAGCAUCCUGCCAUCUCACUCUCACAUCACGAUAGAAUCCGAGCCAGGCAGUGUCGAGCAGUAGAGCUGUCCCAUACCUUUCCUUAGCUUUGGACUAGCUGAGGUAGUUCACAAGUCACGAGCUCACGCAGGUCCAACGUCCCCAACGUGUCACGAUUCACGAACAAGACGCCGUGUGUCGACUGUCUCUACGGACAAGAAGAGAACAUAGGAUCGACCUUUGCAGAAACGAGGUCAAGAGAGCAAUGAUCGAUGGAUUCGAAUCAAUCAGUGCGUCAACAUAAUAAUUGGAGUAAUUAAUUUUCUACAGAAAAAGAAACAGAGAAAAAAAAAGGAGAACUGAUUGGAGUAACCAGUGCGCUAACUGAUUGGAUCACACACACUGAGGAGGAACUGACAAGAGAAGAAGGGUUCGGUCUGAAACUGUAUUGACAUCCGUAACACCAUUUACAUGGAGACUUGCUGACAGGUAUUGAUCCAUCCAACACAACUACAGAAGACACCGGAACGAAGCAUCACUUUUGUUUCUUUAGCAGUUAUUAGCCUGCUAAAGGGGUAAAACUAGCUGCUAGCAAGAAAUUCCAGGUUGGUUCAGCUGCUUCAGGGACCCUUUGGAGGGUCAUGGCGGUUGUUGGCGCCGGACCCGGGGUAGUCGUUCACCACCUCCACGUCCAUCCUCGCCGCCGCCCUGCCCAGGCUCAUCUCCUGCAAGAUCGACCACAUCCAAACCGUACAUCGAUUAAUUCUCAGCGCGUGCAUCAGGACUAUUAAAUCUAGACACAAAUUCGACAGCCAGGUAUAUAUUCAGACAAUCAGACCGGAAGAACAGCGUAUACACGGUACCUGAGGAGAAAGUUGCAGAGACGGCGGGUGCAGCUGCAGGUUCCUCGUCAAGUGCAAGCUUCCUGCAAAGAAAAACAACAGCCGACUGAUAAGCGACAGAAACAUACUGGAUCGAGAGAUUGAAGAACCGAGUAGUCAGUACUUACUUGACGUGGGCACCGCAGACGCCGGCUGCAGGAUUAGGAGAAGGGCGACGGCAAGGAUUAAGGCAAGGAGAUGCUUCCUGGAGCGGCAAGACUCCAUUGUUGGAGCGGUGGCGAGGGGAGAAUUGGCGGCGCCGCUGUUCUGUUCUGUCUCUGGCUCAAUGGUCGGCAAUGGCGUGAUGAGAUGCUGGGUGGGUGGCAAACUGGUGGGCGUUGCCUGCUAGUGCUUGGGUUUUUAUAGUUGGACCAGGGCUAGCAAGCUGGCUGCUCACAUGGCUUUCUCUCCUUGCCCGACUACAAAAGGUCAACUUCGAUUACUUUCCCCUGUCUGGAUGCUGGAGGAUGGUCUGCGAAGUCUUCUCUUGUGGAUGUACUUGUGGUAUUUUUGUAUGCGAAAACAGGAGAACCUAUCCUUUUCAGUUCAUAGGCAUACAAAGAGCAGGUGAUAUUAAAAUUCAUUGGCACUUAAAUAUCCUUUAUAAACUUCAAUUUUCGUGCUAAACUAGUAGAUACCACAAGGUUCUAGAUUUGUAUAAAAGUCUUAACCAUGGUAAGAUUAAUCGGUGCUAUUCUUUCAAUGAUAGCUAACUUACCCGUCAACAGCGAGAUGCAUAUGGUGAUUCGUCACGCGUGUAUAUGAUACUUAAAAGAAGUUCUCGAAAGGUCAGUGCAUAGUUGACGUAUUCUUGUAUUUCCUCUGAUUUCAUAAAAAAUGUCGUCCAUUUAAUAAAAAAGUUGUAUUAGCUUAGUACAAAAUAGACGAUAUUUUUUAUGGAUGGGAGGGAGUAGCAAAAGGCAAGAAAACAUUCCCAUCAUCGAUAAGAUCGACGGGGAGCAUAAUGUAUGUUUGGUUUACGGCCAAAAUAGCACUAUCAAACUCGGUAAAAUCCGGCUUGACAAUUAUCUGGUCAAUAAUUUUUUAGCCUAUACUUGACCAAAGAUUUGAUAAAAAAUUGUGAGAGGAUAACUAGAAACUCAUUUACAACCAAAUUUUUUUUAAAAAAAAAACAUAGACCAAUCAGUAAGUGCGUUGCCUACAUUUCCCGUCAGCUCGAGGAGUUUCUUUCCUCGACCAGGCCAGCCGCCAGCUCGCUUCAUUCGGAUGCAGAAAAUCUCGAGCUGAUUCGGAGCUCAGACCCGUGAGUCACGAGCACUCUUCCAGCGGUUGCCCCGCUCGACUGUUCAUGGCCAGACGUUGGACGGACGUAACGGAACUACUGCUCCGUGACCACGCAGCGAAGGCAACGGAACAGUGUAAACCUAAAUGGGCUACUCCACCGUAGGCCUCUCGACGGCUUAACAACAGUACAGUACCCGACGGGACCGCACCGAGAUGACUUUCCGGUGUUCUCAAGGUGCAUACCACAAAAUCGCCCCGUUUCCUUUCUCUUCCCGAAAGUUCUCUUUGCUGUCUCUGACGAGGGAUUCUCUCUUUUUCACCCCAUGGUGUACGUCAACCCGGUGGUCCAAAAGCAAAAUGUUCUUCGUUCCGGAAAGUUACGGAAGAAUUUGGAGUCAAUGUGAAGUCACACGGCUGGAACUGUCACCUCCCUCACCACUUCAUACUUCAGUUCAGACCCUUCCUGACUUCCUGUUGUCACUGGCAUCAGUGGAUAUUGUUGACUGUUGAGCCUCUGCCAGCUUAAUUAGUCGUAUCAAUCACACUGUUCAAAGCGUACAAUUGUGGUCCAAAUUAAUGUGCAGUUCUAAAGAUUAGCCUAACUUUACUAAGACUAUGUGCAAGAUGUUACUCCCUCCGAUUCUAAAUUGUUGUCAAAAUAUUACAUGUAUCUAAAUGUUUUUUAAGAAUAGAUACAUCCAUAUUUGGUCAAAUUUGAGUAAAAAAUUUAAUGUCAGAUGGAGUAUUUUAUUUUCCUGUGCAUGUACAUGAGAGGCGGGAAAUGACUCUAGCAGAAAGAGUGUGAGUUUGCAUUUCGGCUUCUGAGCAAAACCCUAAGGACAGUACAUGAGGGUCUGAUGUAACUUAAUCCAAAAUGGGAAUUCCGUUUUCUUCCUAUUUUCUUUUUGAAGUUUCAGAUCACGAUGCUGACUGUAACUCGAGGAAUCGCAUCGUGACAAAAAUGAAACAUGGUGUAGCUCUCAUCGUGCUUUCUAAUAAAGCUGGGAUGAAAAGCCUUUUUUCUAAAACAUGUAGCCCUGAAAUUGACAAAAGAAAAAUAUAUUCCUUCUGUAGUUCUCAUAUCGUGAGAAGCGCCUCGGAAAGCAACGAGACGCGAAGCAUCUGUCCACAAAAUGGGCCGGCUUGGGGAAGGACAGCGGCCAUGCAUGACAUGACAUGGGCCGGAAGGAACAUAUGUUUGUCCAAGCGGAAGCGGGAGAUGGGUGAAAUACUGACAUGGCUCUCAGGUGCAGCUACUUUUUAGAGUGAAUAGUAAAUUUUAAAUGAUUACUUCAAAUUUUCAAAAAGUCUUGAUCAAAUUAUAAUAUACUUACUAUGUAACCAGCACACUUCAUUGUCACCUGGUGUCCAAAAAUCGCCACAUGAUGUCCACGUCAGCUCAUAAACCGGUAAAACGAGUGUGUGGUUGAUUUGAAAAGUUCAGGAUUCCUUUUGCACCAAAAUAAACAUUAAGUACAAAAGGUAAACAUCGGUGACAAUUCAACGACGGAAUGAGAACUUCUUUUCAUUGUCACCCUUAGCCCGGAGACUCCAUUACCCAUCUCGAUCAGGGGUUUGACGCAUCGCCAUAUCAUUGUCAUGAAACGGCGCUUGCGCCAAUUUUGGUACUAGCAUUGUUGCUACUUGCUACUAGCAACAUGGCCAACGCUGAACCUUUACUUCCUGACUUACUACUGACUUAUUACUGUACCUAGUAUGCAGACAGUCCGGCCGGUCAAGUUAUCAUCACACUCUACCUGAUAGCAUGGUGUCUUCUACUAGUAUUACAAUACGGGUUUAUCGAACAACUUUGUUACUAGCUCCUUGGAACUCCUGACGGCAAUUGGAACAACACGAAGAGAUCCUACUGUCGUUUAACAGGCACAAGCAGAAGAGCCACCUUCUUACGGAAAACAAGCUGCCCUGUUUCCUCCAUAUCGAUAUCCCCCUCCUUCACCCCAUCAGGAAGUUCCCAAUCAAAGCAGUACAACAGAUUGGCCAGCACGAGCUCAACAUUGGCCACGCCCAUGGCGACGGCAGGGCAAGCCCUUCUCCCGGACCCAAACGGGAGGAGCUCAAAGUGCAACCCCCUGAAAUCAACCUGCGAGUCCUCGAACCGCUCAGGGCAGAACUCCUCCGGCCUGUCCCAUAUCGCCGGGUCUCUCCCCAUGGCCCAGACGUUCACGUGGAUCCUGGUGCCUGCGUCCACGCUGUACCCCGCAAUCUCGCAGCUCUGCAUUGUCUCCCUUGGGAUCAGCAGGGUGCCCGGUGGGUGUAGCCUGAAGUUCUCCUUCACUAUCAUCUUCAGGUACUUGAGCCUCUGGACGCCUUCUUCGUUAACUCUGGAAUUGUUGUCGUUGUUGUUCCUGACAACGGCACGCACCUCGGCUUGCGCCUUCCGCAUCACCCUUGGGUUCCUCAUCAGCUCCGACAUGAUCCAGAUCGUGGUCACGGCGCACGUGUCAAUUCCACCUGCAAAUGUAUCCUUUAGUGAAAAAUGGACAUUGAUUGUGAAUUUGUGAUUCUAACCAUUAAUUUACCAAUCGAUGCUAAUCAGUUUUAGUACCAUGAGAAUCCCCUUGAUGUUAUCACGGGACAGAGCCAGAGGCCCAUCCGGAUCCUUCCACAACUUCACCAGCGCAUCCACCAAGUCCUCCUGCACGCCAGCCGCGAGCCGCUCAGGCUCUAGAUGCUUGUCAAUGACGGCAUCAAAGAAAGCAUCAAUCUUGCGGAAGACCCUCCGCCGCCUUGCCGCGGCGCCCGUGGCGAAGUCCGCGCACCGGGCGAGAGUCGAGGACGGGAAGAAGUCCUCGAAGGUGAAGCUGCCGAGGACACGCAGCGUCUCGUCCAUCAUCCCCUGGAAGCUGCUCCUGUCGAAGGAGUCCGACAUGUACGUCUUCCCGAAGGCCACCGUGCCGAUGAUGCCGUCCGAUAGCGCGUAGAGCUUCUCGCUGAGGUCGACGGGGGUGGAUAGUGAGCCGGCGGCAGCGGCGGCGGAGAGGGAGCCGACGAGGCGGUCGACCUCGGCGGCCCGGGCGUAGGCGAAGGACUGGACGCGGCGCGUGCUGAGGAGCUCCAGGACGAGGAGCUUCCGCAUGUCGCGCCAGUAGUCGCUGUAGGGGCCGAACGCCACGUCCAGGAAGUUGUAGCUCAGCGUCCUUGCACCUACAUAUAUAUGGCCGACGGACGGAGGCAGGCGAGAUUAGUGAUCUCUCUUGUGCUAGCUGCUGAUGUUCUUCCGGUUUUUUCUCAGUCCUCCAUUGCUUCGAACUGUUUCUCUUUCAGUCGCUUAAAAUUGCGAUUUCUGAAGGUGUAUAUGGCUUCAGUCCGUCAAAAAAAAAGUCAGAGUGCAAAUUUUAUUUUUUUGGUUUAGUAGAGAUUUCAAGACAGAGAUGGUGAUUCAGACCCUUUUCGAAAAAAAAAAGACGUUUAUUAUCGAGCUGUGCCGCUCGUGCCCCGGCUUGGACCGUCCCGGGAUUCGGCCUCGGACACGUGGGUCAACAUGGCUCGGCCCAUUUAACAUUUUUUGUUGCAUUUUUCUUAAACAGCGAUUUCACAGCGGGCUGAUGUGCCUGGGCCUGACUUCUGCCUUUGUCGGCCUGCCGGUCCAUCGAAACAACCUUCAAAUGGAUAAACGUGAAGGACAAAUGGAAGUUCAUCUUUGAAAAUGCCUUACACUUUAACCAUAAAUAUUGUUACACUUUAAUGAUAACUCGUCUGUAUGUUUCUGUUACACUUUAACCAUAAAUGUUGUUACACUUUAACCAUAAAACGUCACGACAAUUUAUAUGUUUAUUUUACACUUUAACCAUAAAUGUUGUUACACGUUAUCCAUAAAACACCACGACAGUCUAUAUGUUUCUUUUACAUUUUAACCAUAAAUGUUGUUACACUUUAACCAUAAAACGUCACGACAAUUUAUAUGUUUCUUUUACACUUUAACCAUAAAUGUUGUUACACUUUAUCCAUAAAACGUCACGACGGUCUAUAUGUUUCUUUACACUUCAACCAUAAAUGUUUUUACACUUGAUUUAACCAUAAAACGUCACGACGGUCUCUAUGUUUCUUUUACACUUUAACCAUAAAUGUUGUUACGCUUUAACCACAGUCACGACUGUCCAUAUGUUUCUUCUGAUAAAAAUUAAGUGUUCCUUACAAAUGGUCCGAAUUCUAGACCAUUAUGUAUGGUACGUGUCUAUCAAGUCGACCUGAUCCAAUGCUAUUAGGUAUUCUCCCGAGAGGCCGAGACCUCUGUCUCUUCAUUUCUCCUCUCUUGUUCCCCUCGGUCCUCCUCUGCCGUACCCACCGACGCUCAUCAAGGCCACAAAGGCCUUCGAGCUCUACCUGGCGCUCGCCCCGUUCUUCGUCCUUAGCCUCACCAGCCUCUCCAUGCGCCGCCAGAUCAGUCGCAUCCUCACCGAUCUGGGCACAUUCUGCACCAGCAAUCGCCUCAUCGGCUCCAGCAACGGCUACGUUGCCGUCGCCAGCGAAUACCGGAAGAGUAUUCGCGGGAGAUCUGGAUACAGAAGAGACGGCGCCGGCGAGGUCGAAGGCAAACCCCUGCCCGUGUUGUUGGGCUCCUCGAUCUUGGCCCGAGCCGAGCCUCAGUUCUGGACUUGAAAUCGGUUUCGGGUUGAGCCAGGCUCGGCUCGCCAUCUUCGGGCAAUAGGCGAGCUUUUUAGCCGGCUCGCGUGCAGGCCGAUACACAAGUUAGCUACGGUUCGUGCCUGAAUUAUUGAGGAAGCACAGGCCAAGUCUAUCUUCUCUUGUCCCUUUUACUAAGAUAAUGUAAGCCUAGAAGGAUCUUGUCGCCUACCUUUAACCCAAAUAACGAAAAUGAUGUUGCAAUUAUAAAUUAUCAGAAACUUUGUACGGAUUAUUUCUCAUCAAGAACAUAACAAGGCUAAAACAAAACAAAAAUAGGAAGUACUAGUUUGAAAUAGGAAUUAAGGCUGCCAUGAAUUAACGCACACAUAUGUUACCUGGUGAGUUGGGCCGGCUGCAGCACUGCAGAUCGUUGGUCCGGAGGACCUCCUUGGCGGCCUCCGGCGACGUGACGACCACCAUCCGCACGCGGCCCAACUGCACCUGCACCACCGUCCCAUACUCCCGGGCGACCGCCAGGAAGUACCGGUGCGGCCGGCUGCCGAGCUGCAGGAGGUUGCCCAGCACGGGGAGCUGUUUCGGGGGGCCAGGAACAGGAGGACCAUUAUUUGUUGCUGCUCCCUGUGUUUCUCUCUUGCUACUACUGCUCCUGAUGAAGAAGAGGCAGAGGAGAGGGAUGAGAAAGAGUGGUGAUAUCCAUGGGAGAAGAGGUGCCAAUGACGAUGGGUUGGGAAGAGAAGGGGCAAACAUGGAGUCAGGAUACUGUGGGACGGUCGAUCGCUGCCAACGGUUAAAUAAGACGGGAUGACUGCAUGAGGGGAUGGCUGGACAUAAAUCAGCACUUCAUAUAUAUCGGAUAUUUAGUACUACUAGCCGAAAUGACCGUGCGUUGCAACGCGAUAACAAAAUAAAAUGAUGAACUCGAAGACAUGCAUAAAAAAUUUCUCAUUUUGUUUUUCUUUGACAAUCAACAAACAUCAUUUUUAAAAAGGUUUCUUCUAAAGAUUUUUUCUCUAUACCUUCUGAAAAUCACAUAGCAUUCGUCAUUGAGUUCUUUCUUUCGAGCCCUCAUAGCUUCACAGAUUGUGUGCCACGGGUCCUGAGACGAGGCGAUCGGAGGGUCAUCCAUGAGGCCUGUCAACUCGGACUUGUAUCCCGGCCAGUGAUACAAAUUUGAAAAAGAAAUCUACUUGUUUUCCCGAACGAAAUAAGCUCACGAUACUAAAUUUAAAAAAGAAAACAAAAUAUCUUCCAACAUUUCAGAAUCAUGGUUUGCUAAUCCUCACAAUCCUCCCAAUGAAAAGAAGUGAUUGGUAACAGAAAGUAAAAUACAAUUAUUUUAUCCGAUUAGUAGCCCAAUCAUUAAUAUUACAAUGAGCUCUAUGUGACGGUGCCAUAAAAAUUGUCAACUCAAGAAAUAUUUUUUUGCCAAUAAUCCACAAUUAGUGCCCACACCCACACAAAUGCAACAUCAGAAGAAGAGCCUCGUGAGACUGGACCAUAAAUAUUCUAGAUAUCCUAUUCUUCAAACCUACAAGUCUACUCUACUUACAUUGGCUUGUGCUCAUCGGAGGCCUGAAUGCCUGAUCAGCUGCCUUGAUCUGCCCCCACAAGGCGUCGGCGGCGCUCAUCUCGGAUGCGGCGGGUGCUCGGGGAGGACGGCGACUGCAGGCAGAAAUCUCGCCCUGAGAUGCCGUCACCGAAGAUCCGGCCGGCGGCGAGAUUAAGGAGGCUGCCGGCGCAGCCCAGUCGCACGUCUCGGAUGGCUGGAUGCGGCGCGUGCUUCGGGUGGACGCCAGCUGCUGUACUCGGGGAAACGGAGGAGCUCCAGGUGUCACCGCAGCUCUGGCCGGCGGCGGCGUAGGCGAAGCCUAGGCGUCGCUUGGCUCUCCCGUGGCAGUCGAGGAGAAGAAACACUUCGGGCGAAGGAAUAUCAGAUCGAGGAAAGGGCUACGAGUGUGUACGAGUUAGGCCUGCUCGUUGUGCCGAUUAGUUCGGCCUGUUGGGCCUGCUGUGUAUGUGUAUGAUUUCGGCCUGCUCGGCGGUGAGAUAGGGGCGUCGGGCCAUGGAUCGGUGAGACGGGUGUUGGGCGAGGCGAGCGAAGUUUGACAGGCGACGAAACCGCGUGGUGAAGGGAACGGUUCGUAUUUUUAGAUAGCUAUAGAUAAGACGUUUCGGUAGUUUAAUUUAUAGGUUUUGCCAUUUUUCUAUAUAAAAGUUGUCGGAUUAGUUAGAGAUUAGUUGAUGUGCUAACCGUUAGAUCUUAUCGAGCAGCAACAUUGGAAGAUGGAGGAGUGGAGAUGAUGUACAUAUCUUGAUCUAACAGCUCUGAUGCAUCAACUGAGAUUGAAGAUAUGAGUAAAUUUCACAGAACCGCAGGUUUUGAGGUUUGGUUCUCACCGAGCCACGACUUUUGCUAAUUUGUCCGUAAAACCACAGGUUGUUGAGCGUCUAAUUGUCUCACAUCACCUAAAAUGACGGCUUAUGCGAUUUUGAUAGCUUUUCUUACAUGUGGGUCCCUCCUGUCAGGCGCCACAUCUUUUUCAUUGGACCCCCUGGCUUUUUCUUUUUUUCCUCGUCCCCUCAUGCAAACUACGAGAGACAGCGGCGAGCGGCGUCGUUGCUCUCUGGGUGGUUUCUUGCCAGGAAUUAAGGGAUGAGAAAUGAGAAAUGGUAGAUGGGUGGAGGGUGUCCUCUGGGUCAAAGGAAUUGGAGGAAAAGGGACUAGAGCAAUGGGCAUCAACGGCGGAAGGCUCGGUGGCGCACUUGGCCGGCGUUGGAGAAGAUGAACUCUAGGGGCUCCGGCGCGGCUAUGUAGUGGGAUUAAGGGGUAUAGGAGUUGUGUGGGGCUCUUGGCUAAGCCUUUACAUAUCGGCGCGUCCGCGCAUAGUGGACGACGUCCAUGGCGAGCGUGGGGAGCAUCGCUCCAGGAAUCCAGGGGCUACUGCAGGACACUGUCGUGUUAUACAUGGCGUGGGGAUGCUUCGACGUGAAGGGACGGGAAGAGGGAGUGAACAGGGUGGAUUUUUACCGCACGAUGCCGAGAUGCAUGCGAGGUGCUCGAUGCCACGAUAUCUGGCACGCGCGGGAGAAAUGGCCUGCAGCUGGCCCCGUGCUUCCUUGGCAUGUGCCUAGGCCGGAGCCAUUGGCCUGCAGCUGGCUCGGGGCGGCGGACGCGCGGGCCAUGGCGGAUGCAGCUGGCUCUUAGUGGCAACGCUCUCCACGCCACGGGCCUCAUCCCUCUCUUGGACGACGCUCUCCUCGCUGCGGGCGCCGGCGUCGCCCACCCUCUCAGGGUCCGUGCCGCGCUGCCCGGUUGCCCCUGAGCGUCGGUUUCCAUCGAAGAUGAAAUUCGGUCAAGCAAAGGGGAGAGAAGAAGCUGAUAAUUCAGUCGGGACUCGCAGCCGUGAACUGAAAUCAGGGAAGGCAUAGAAGGCUCAACAAUGAAAGGGGCGUAUAUAUGUGCUAAAUCUUGGGUUAUGGAAUCAAGAUGGUGAAUGAGCGGUUGAAGGGACGGAUCGCUGGCUGGCGCCACACGUCCAAGCAAAAACUAGCAACGGGAAGCAAUUCCGAGUGAUGCUGAUGGGAAGGCACGCAGCCGCCGCACUCCAGCUUCGAGGGCCUCUCGUCUGUCGUGACCGAUAUGGCCGCCCAUGGCCGACUUCCUUCUCACCAAGGUCGUGUCCAAGGAGGUGCUGCCAUUUGUAGAAGAAGACGUGGCGCCUAACAGGCGGGACCCACAUGCAAGAAAAACUAUCAAAAUCACAUAAGCCGUCAUUUUGGGUGAUGUGAGACAAUUAGACGCACAAACUGUGGUUUUGCGGACAAAUUAGCAAAAAUUGUGACUCGGUGAGAAGGUAGCCUAAAAAACUGUGAUUCUCUGAAAUUUACUCUUAAGAUAUCUUUUUACAAAGGGCGUGCCUGUUGCUUAGUCGACUGAGAAAUAAGCUGCUUAUUUCUCAGUCGACUGGCUCAGCGCUGCUGUUUGUUUAGUUUGUACGUGAUUGUUUGUGGGCCGGGUUUUUUGUUUGUUGGGUUUAUAGGAUUGGGCUCCCCUCCACUGUAUUUGGGUUUCUUUUGUGUUCCUGUCCAGCUCUGAUCCUAUCGAGUAAUUGGGCUUUAGGCCCCGUUACAAACACACAAAAACUCGCACACAGAGUAAAAGAAAAGGUUUCCCUAAAAAAAAGUAAAAGAAAUUUUUUUUUUUACAAAAUGGGAAACUGACACAUGACGCAAAACAACUUGUCUCUCAAGGAAAACGGAAGCUGGAUCUAAAACAUCUCUUCCUUACCACCCCCGAUGAGCAGACAAGACACAAAAAGGAAGCCAUAUAACCCUAACGACGAAGGAAGAAGAUCAUGACGGAAAAAACUCCAACGGUGGCGCGCAUGCAGAGAAAGCUUCAACAAACUUUCUGGGGAAGGGGGACACAAACCAAGGUGACAAAAGCCUAAAACUUUCCCGAUCUCUUCUCUUCUAAACUGUUAUACCUUUCUCUCUUCAACAACUAGCAUGUCUUUGAAGGCCCUGUUGAGAUAUGCCUUUACUUUCUGCAAAAUUUACAUGCUGCAACUUGAAUCAGAAAUCUCACUAAUUUGCCUGUAUUGCUGGGACAACAAAACAACAAGCAUUAUUGACAUGUAUGGUGAUAACCUACUGGGCAAUUCACAGCUGGAUCCUGGCAGCAUGAUGGGUGAAAAGACAGUUAGCUCACCGAAUUCUUGGCUUAGCUGCGGAUAUUGCUGGUGGUGAAAAAUAGCCAUCAACAUAGCUUGGUGGUUUCUGUGCACAUUGAAUGGAUGAUAGUGUCAUUGUCAAACUUCAUGUAAAAGCCGGCGGUUCGGGAGGGGAAAAUGUACUAAAACUUGCCUCUUUGAAAGAAGUAACAUACAAAUCUAAGGUUUGUUAGGCUUUCUAAACUUCAUGUAAAUUGGGUUGUACCAUGAGUGAGAGUUUCUGUUAUCUUUAUUGCUAUCAACCAUAUCUGACUCGGCUUGGCUAAGUGACAACUGCAGGAUAAAUAAACAGAAAAUGUAGCAAAAGUUGCAUUGAAAAAGGGAAAAAAGGACUGUACCUUCAAAUUAUGAGGCUCUGAUGUGUUGUAUUCAAAAGGUAUUGGGUUUGACUUUAUUUUCUCUGCAUACUGAAGGUUAUCACCUUGUUUGUUGCUCUCGCUUGCCAGAUCUGUUGAAGAGAAAAAAUAUCAAGAGACGGAAAAGACACAGAGACACGGGACGAAAAAGAAAACAUUAGUACAAAGCUAGCAAAGGCUAUAUUGCAAUAAAAUGUAGUUUCAGGAGAAGGAGGUCUAAAACCUUGUCUGACCUUGUUCAUGCGCUUGUUUAUUUGCCGCAAGCCCAAGUCGGACAUUUGAAAGCAAUUUGUUUUCUCCACUUGUGCACCCAUGAGUACCAACCUUGCGCUAUUAUGAACUGGCAAUUUGUUGCUGUCCUCUAUUGUAUCCUGGUAUGUACAUAAGACGCAGGAAGAAAAAUGGAAUGAGAACACAUAACUAUAUUAAACCCUAAGAUGCAAUUCUGUCGCUGUGUAAUAAUUGUCAGCAAAAAAGGAAGUAUGAAAAGAGGAUAGAAAUUAAAAGGAAUUUGGAAGUUAGACGAGUAAAAAUGUCAGACACUUGACCGGAGAGACAAACAGCAAUAAAAAUAUAAUUAGACCUAUAUUCUAAUUAUUCUGUUAUCUUCAAAUGCAGGUUCGUUCAGAUUUAGGAUGGGGUUCAGAUUGCUGCAAUUAACACCUUCGGUCUGAAUAUCCUUGGAAGCACCUGUAACAGAAUAAUUAGAAUAUAGGUACAAUUCCUUGGCUGAUAUGUCUGUUUCUAAAUUUUGACCAGGCUGUCAAAAUAUUCAAAAGAAAAAAAAGAGUAAAUACUCAGGGGGAGAACUCCAAAAAAUAUAUGUAGGCACACGGAUUUUUUUAAAUGAGAUAAUUCUAGAGGAACUAACUACCUCCAUCAUCUGAACUGCUUCCUCCAUCCUUUGAUUCAUCUGAAUGAUGUGGAUCACCAUUGUCAGCGUUACUGGCAUUGCCAUUGAUCCCCAUGAAUUCAUCUGAUUCCAUUGUAACGUCCAAAAGGCACACCCAAAAACAAAAAUUCCUAAGGAGAAAACACAGGUGGUUAGAGACUCAGAUUCCAUCGUAACAUUCCAAUAACACCGAAAAACACAAGAUAAUGAUCUCCCGCAAGCCUAGAAAAGAAGAACUAAGCAUACUGACAAAGAACAAAAAUGCAUCUAAUUACCACUUUUACUGCUUGGACUAUAUGACAACAAUAAGACCAGUACACACAAAGACCACCGAAUCAUGUUUUCAGGCAUUAAAAAAUUGUUCCAAGACAUCGAAAAAUUGUGAGUUAAACAAUGACAUUUUGCAUGAAAAAAAGGCUCAGCUCAUGUGAAUGAUAUGCAUCAUCCUUGUCAGCAUUAUUGACAUUGACAUUGUGAGAGCAUGAGACACCGGCUGCCCUGUUCGUAGCACAAUCCUAGCUCGUCUGCGCAAACAGCAUCAUACAAAACAGCAGGCCACCAUCCCUCCCCCACCCCUGCCACAUAUCACUCUGUGAUCAUAGGGGGCAGCUCGUUCCAAACGCAAAAAUCAGCGCACUCAAACUGGCCCAAAAAAUUCCCUACUCAAAACGGGAACACAAAACAAUCGGAUACAAAAAUUGCACAUGAAGAGGCAUGGUGUGCAAGUCACUGUCCAACAAAAAGAUCUAAAAUAUCCUUUUGGGCCCUAAGAAAACCCUUACUAACUUGCACAACCAAAAACAUGAUGUGCAAGUCCUUAGCGAAAACUCAAAAAUUGUGCAUCGUGAGUUUACAUGUGUAGCUCAACUCUCUAAGCUGCACAUUUUGAGGCGUGGUGUGCAACUCGUCAACUCUCCGACAAAUGAAACCUUGCUAGCUUGCAACACCAAAAACAGAUGUGCAAGUCUUUAGCGAAACCUCAAAAAUUGCGUGUCAUCAGUUUGUGUGUACAGCUCGACUAUCUAGCUUGCACAUGAUGAGACAUGGUGUGCAAGUUAACUCUCCAACAAAAAUGAUCUAAAAAAUCCUUUGCUAAAUUGCACAUUUUGAUGCAUAGUGUGUAACUUGUCAACUCCCCUGACAAAAAAAGAAAACCCUACUAACUUUCACAUCCAAACAAAUACAAGUCCUUUGUGAAAAACUAAAAAAUUGCAUGACAAUGAGUUUACGUGUACAGCUCGACUCUCUAACUUGCACAUGAUGAGGCAUGGUGUGAAUCAACUCUCCGACAAAAAGACCUAAAAAAUUCUUUUGCUAAAUUGCACAUUUUGGGGUGCGGUGUGAAACUCGUCAACUCUCAAACAAAGAAAAUCCUACUAACUUGCACAACAAAAAACAUGAUGUGCAAGUCCUUAGCGGAAACUCAAAAAUUGUGCGUCAACAGUUUACACUCAGCUCGGCUCUCUAACUUGCACAUUUUUGGGUGCGGUGUGCAACUCAUCAACUCUCUGACAAAGAAAACCUUACUAACUUGCACAACCAGAAAUAUGAUGUGCAAGUCCUCACGAAAGCUCUAAAUUUGUUUGUUAUGAGUUUGCGUGUGCAGCUCGACUCUCUAACUUGCACAUGACGAGGCAUGGUGUGUAAGUCAACUCUCCAAAAAAAAGACCUAAAAAAAAUCCUUUGCUAAAUGGCACAUUUAGGGCGCGGUGUGCAACUCGUCAACUCUCCAACGGAAAAGAAAACCCUACUAACUCGCACAACCAAAAACAUGAUGUGCAAGUCUUUCGUGAAAACUCAAAAAUCCCACGUUCAUGAGUUUACAUGUGCAACUUGACUCUCUAACUUGCACACGAUGAGACAUGGUGUGCAAGUCAACUCUCCAACAAAAAAAAUUAAAAAAAAAUCCUUUGCUAAAUUUCACAUUUUGAUGCAUGGUGUGCAACUCGUCAACUCCCCCCGACAAAAUCCUACUAACUUGCAUACCCAAGAACAUACAACUCCUUCGUGAGAACUCAAAAAUCCCGCGUCAUGAGUUUACAUGUGCAACUUGACUCUCUAACUUGCACACGAUGACACAUGGUGUGCAGUCAACUCUCCAACAAAAAGACCUAAAAAAAAACCUUUGCUAAAUUGCACAUUUUGAUGCAUGGUGUGCAACUCGUCAACUCUUUGACAAGAAAGCCCUACUAACUUGCACAACCAAAAAAAUGAUGUGCAAGUCCUUAGCGAAAGCCCAAAAAUUGUAUGUCAUGAGUUUACUUGUUCAACUCGGCUCUCUAACUUGCACACGAUGAGACAUGGUGUGCAAGUGAACUCUCUGACAAAAAGACCCUACUAACUUGCACAACGAAAAACAUGAUAUGCAAGUCCUUAGCGAAAGCUCAAAAAUUGCAAGCCAUGAGUUUAUUUGUGCAGCUCGACUCUGUAAAUUGCACAUGAUGAGGCAUGGCGUGCAAGACAACUCCAACAAAAGACCUAAAAUAAAUCCUUUUCUAAGUUGCACAUUUUGGGGCGCGUUGUGCAACCCGUCAACUCUCCGACAAAGAAAACCCUACUAACUUGCACACCCAAAACACAUGAUUUGCAAGUCCUUCAUGGGACCUCAAAAAUUUUUUGCACACCCCUGAGUUAUUUAUGUGCAAUUGACCUUUUAUGGGUAACUCAUCAGAACAAAAAGAAACUAAAACCCUUGAUGGCUCCUUCCUCUUCCAGACUUCCUAAAGAUAAUUUGUUUGAGCUUUGUAUGUAAUUGAUUUUCCUUAAUACAACAUUUUCGGAUGAUUCUUUGCUUCUCUCAAACUUAUGCCAUUAGUGAGUAGCGAGGGUCGAAAGACUGUGCAUCACAAACAUUUGCAUGAUAUGCCAGCCCACAGAAAAUAUAACACCUAAAACACAUUGCAUGUCCAUAAAAAGAGACCACAGACACAUACUAAAAAAAUAUUCAAGUUUUGAUAAACCCUACUGCUAUCACAUGUCCAGACUACUACUUGUUUGCAGGAGUCUCUUCUUCAUAUGGACCGAGCCACCUCUCAGCGAUUGACAGUGUAAACAUGGAGGAAUAGCCCGCCCAAGGUGUCCACCUCAAAUCGGUAGAACGCUGUCCUUUCUGAUUCCAUGGCAAAUGCAGAAAUCUGCCCAUCCAUCAACAAUAACAAUGGUCCGGCUUGCUGCAGUAGUGUACUCGCCGAUCAUACACUUAAGCGGCGGCUUGAAGACAAAACUUCUAAUAAAACAAAACUUAUAGCUUGAACUACAUAAAAUAAACUUAACAAUCUUAGCAUCAUCAGGAACAGGAAAAAGAACUCACCGGAAUCCUGCAACCAUGUCCAUGUCGCUCACCCUGUGCACAAUGAACUCACGGUGAUGUUCAUGUAUAAGUCAACACCUUUAAAAGCAACCAGAAUCAUUGCAACAUCAUCAUCACGGAGUCCAGCCAUGUCCGUGAACACAAUUGAGUGGAACAAAAUCACAAACUUCGUACACGACUUCUUGAAGACCUGCACAAAACAAGAAGAAAAUAAACUCAAUACACAAUCAGAAACUCGCCAAAUUAAACAAGAAAACACAGAAGAUAGGCCUGCGGAUCUGAGGAAGAACAAUCAGAAACUAACCAAAAUAAGAUUGGGUCUUCACCAAUAACGUCAUCCUGCCCCUCCACUACAGCUUCGAAGGCGCACCAAUAGGACACUGUCACCAGAUUUAAGCUUAUGGAUCCUUGCAAAAAGUCUCCAAUAUGCACCACAAAGAAUGGUGACAUCAUUCCUCCUCUCAACAUACACAUCACUUAAAUCCACUGAAAUCCCGCACGACGAGAAAAUUCUCAACAAAGUCGGUGAGACGAUCUCUGAAGCACGGAGGUACACUCUAUAUGGCCAGAAAAAUUAAACCUCAAACCGUGACUAAAAAUUAUUAAGGACCACUGAGCUACAAGCAAUUGAUUAAAAAAAAGAGAAUAAAACGAACAUACCACAAAAUCCCUGCACCCGUCGCCCAUGUUGGUGAACGAUGAUAAGCACACAUUGGGAUGCUUGCAGACCACAUCAAACUUAUUGCGAGCAUGGAAUCGGGGGGCCAUGAUCUGCAAGAAUGCAGAAAAUGUAGAUUCAAACAAAAUGUUUUGCGGAGAAGGAAAAAGGUACUCUAGAUUCUAACUGAAAGAACAAAUAGCCUCAUAAACAUAGAUUGCAAUAACCCCACUAAUAACAACUCUGUCAGAACCCCCCCCCCCUCCCCCCAGAACAACAUAUCCCCACACAGAACAAAACAAAAAAGUACUCUAUUAUCCAGUCUGGGAUUUUAUAUCAAGAUUAGUUCUGCCAGAAAGAGUUAGUGGUAAAAAAAUCAACUACUGAGAACCAACGUACUAUGUUAGAGUUCUCAACUUCUCAAUUUGCCUGACGGAUAGGUUCCAUGAUUUAACUCUCAGCUGAACUAAAUCGUGAUAAAUAAAUAAAUAAAACACUGCCCCUCCUAGCAAAAACACAUCCCUUGCCGACAAGUUCAAAAUCUCUCACCCGCCCCCUAACACCAUACCCGCAUCGCGUACAAUAAUAAACAAACAAACAACGGUCUAUUUGCCUCUAUCGAAUCACAAAUACAUAUACACAGAACGAACAAAUACUUAUUUCUCAGGCGCCUGAUCAAUAGCAAAUUCGUUUUACAAAUCAAGCAGCUGAGCAAUAAUCACACUUAAUUUAUAAACUACUAGUACAGUAGUUUAUACAAAACAUAACAAUAUAAUUGGACAUUCAAGCAAAAUGAUCUCGGGGCCGAUGCUAGAAGCCGCGGCCACGGACAUGGCACCCAGUCCACGCCGCCCGCCGGCCGUGGCUGGCGUCAGAGCACGUGGUGGCGCAGUGCACGAGGAACUGUGCGGCGGUGGAUAGCGCCGAUCAGCCCUAGACUCCUUUGCUUGUCUCUUGCACGAUAAUCUAAUCCGGCGCCGACGCGUAUCGAGAGCGGUCACCGCAGAGAGUUGCUGCGUGGACAGUUGAGUCGGCGAUGUCGGCCCGAGAAGGCAGCACUGUGGGAACAGGAAAAAGAAGGUUCGAUGGAGUGUAAGGAGACACGGAAAAUCAGAACAUGCACGGAAAUUGAUGCAUGGUGGACGACGACGAUGAAAGAAACCUUCUUGCUUUUAUUAUUAGGGAUUAUUAUAUUUUGUUAUGCCUAGUGGGCUUGUGAUUGUGGGCAAAGGGAGCCACAGACAGAGAGAUAAGAAUAAGUGGGCUUAGUAUGAACAAGAACUUCGUGUGGUUCAUAGAGCACGGGUGUUAACGAACAUGCACGGAAAUUGAUGCACGGCAGACGACGAAGGAAACUUUCCUAUUUUUAUUAUUAGUGAGGGAUAGAUAGACUGAACCCUUGUAAAUUGAAAAUUGAAAACGGAGUGCGUAAUAGAAGAGCGAACUGAUCGAACACACAACUACGCAGUCAGUGACGUCACCCUUGGUAUGGCCAGCUGACAUGCCGAACCGAGCCACCGCGAUCCGUGGUGUUCAUUGCGAGCAGAACACGUCUCAGACAAUGGGGCCCAGGAAUCUACGUAAUUGGUAUGGGACUCGGGCCCUCGGGAACCUUCGCCCGGAAAGACUUGUUGCAUCUCCUUGCGUGUUAAUGAAGCGGUUGGGACGUACAAGCGGCAUCAUGCGGGCAACUCUGACUAAUUUGGAACACAGAAAGAUACCAGAAAAGUGUUUACAUGGCACUUAGAAGAUUACUGUUUCGUACUCCCUCCGUCCCGAAAAGGUUGUUGCGGGCACUUCACAAAUAUCUUCUUACAAAAACGUUCUCGAAAUUAAAAUAAUUACAGUCCAGAAAGGGUAUUACAGGAUCCAAAUUCUAAUCGCCUCCGCCAGUGUCCAGGUCGCCGGAGCCACUCCCUCUGCAGGUCCCCUCCUUCUUCCCCUCUCUAGGUUGCUUCCGCAAGUCCUCUCCAGGCCAUAUCCAUCUCCAGCCCUGCCACGAUCCCACGAGCUACAGCCACAACUUCAAAUCAAUCACACACCAGAAUCCCAAGAGCUAUAUCUGCAUAUUCAAAUUAAUCACACACCACAAAUCCCAGAAGCUACAGACAGACGCAUAUUCAAAUCAAUCAGACCAAGAUCCCAGGAGAACAGUCUUAGUUCCAAAUCAAUCACACAGAUCGACCACGAUCGAGGAGCUGGACUUGAGGUGUUGCUCCUCCUCCCCUUCAAAUGCAAAUCAAACACCUUCAAGAACAAGAACAUAUGGAGGUUAAUGGAUAUUGACAAAUAAAAUGGGGCAAAUCAAUCAGAAAUCAUGGGCUAAAUCUGAAUUGAGGAGCCGCUUCUUCUGCUUGCAGCAGCCUCAAAAAUCUCGCAGAUCGAAAAGCGCCGCAAAAAAAGAACAAAGAGAAAAGUGAGGAGAUCGAAAAAAACCUUCUUCUUCUGCUUGCAGCCGCCUUGACGAGCUGUGCCCUCCUCCCCUUCCGUCGUCGCGUCGCCGCCACCGGAUGCAGACUCGCCGCCACCAGAUCCGGGCUCGCCACCAACAGAUCUCGAAGCUGCUGCUCCUACUCCUCCUCGGCUGCGGCGACAGCGGCCCCAGCUCCGGCUCCUCCCCUUUGGGCACCGUGAAGACGGCGACCGGAUCUGGUCUUGAAACCACCGGAUCCGGCGAGAUUCAACUCGCCUUUUGGUAGGAGCGCGACGGCGGCGAGGGAAGCGCAGGGGAGAAGAGAGGGGAAGGUUCAGGGGAGCACGGGGGAGAAGAGAGGGGAAGGUGGAGGGGAGCACGGCGGGGGCGACCGGAGAGAGGGAUAGGGCCCGAGAGGAGAGGGAGAGCGGCAGAGAGGGGGACGUGGGGAGGAGAGGGGGGAGCUGGGCGAAAAUAAGGGAGAGGAGCGCGGAGCUGUAGAAAAUGGAAGGGUUUUUUUUCAAAAAUGCGGCCGUGACAAUCUUUUCGGGACGGAGUGAGUAGCAUGUCGCACAACAUGCUCAGUAGAUUUAACUAUUAUGCUCCCUGUGUUUCUCCUGUCUUACUACCGCUGCUGAUGAUGAACAGGUAGAGGAGAGGGAUGAGAACGAGUGAUAAGAAGGCGCCAGUAACGGUGACGGGUCGGGAGACAUGGAGUGGUGACUGGAGACUAUGGAGUCCUGUUGAUAC
Molecule: long non-coding RNA, 56550 nt
Filed under: Brachypodium distachyon (stiff brome)
Lineage: Eukaryota; Viridiplantae; Streptophyta; Magnoliopsida; Poales; Poaceae
Description: long non-coding RNA (BDIS_LNC001911)
Source: RNAcentral